UUUUUUUUUGCGAAAAACUGUCGAUAUAUUCAUUUUCAGUUAUGGCAGUACAACGAACACUAGAAAUAAUAAAAAUAUGCAUCAAGAUUUAUAGACCACCUAGCGACGACUGCAAGCACUGAAGCGAGCCUAAGGCGCGCCGCCGUCAUCGCCCCUCCCUCGUCGGAGUCAGGCACAAUUUGUUGUAGUAGACAGUCAGGAAGCCGUCGUGCUAAGAUCCCAUCAACGCACCAGAACAGCAACUGCCGCCGAUGAAGAGAAUUUUAGAUCGGAAAGAUCCAACCUGAAGACACAUGAGCAAAGACGAACAAAGACCGGAUCCGAGCGGAUCAAUCAAAGACAACUACCGACCAAAUCUCGUGAGAUCUGCCAGAGACACACGGCCUCCGACGAUGCUAGACACACACUAGGACGGGGGCUAGGCGGGAAGAACCAUAUUCCAUCUUCAAGAAGUCGCCGCCAUCUCGUCUUCUUGAGCAGGACACAAGCUCUAACAAAACUUGAAGAAGCACCUGAAAACGAAGCCCUCCCGCCAAUAAGGACCGGGAUCCACCGCGCACCCAUGGCCCUAAGGCCACAGGAGACGUGGAAGAUCGGUGGUGCUUCCGACGGGAGGCAGAAACCCUAGCCGCUUUUUUUUAAAGCUUAGCUAAUUCCACCGAGAAAAUGAAAAAGGAAAAAAAAAGCUACAAAAUGCAGGUGGUGUUUUAUGGCCACAAAACGAAGUGUUGACCAGAAAACGCCUCGUUAUCUUAUGUUAGUUGCUGAGCCAAGAAGGAACUACUGCAACAUGAGAAGACGUCUUGAGCUACAAACCAGUGAUGAGAAACUGAGGGUGCAAGCAACAUGAUCUGCAUCUGAGGAAACACCAGAUUAUAAAUUUGCAGAAGACCGAGGCGAACCGGCUCCAAUUUUUAGAGUCCCCUGUAUGACGGACACAGGCGUCAUAUAAAAGACGAAACACCCAUGCUGGCUUAAAUCGUCCCGAAAUGUAGCCGCCAUUUUCAUUAAAUUUUCGGGUGAAAAUAUUAAUUAACUGAGUGCAUAAAAAAAUAAAAAUAUAUUUAUGAAUUAUAAUGUUUAAAAGUCAAUUAAAAAUCAAAUGUGUAUAUAAUGUUUGUUUAUUUUAAAGAGUUCAAUUUGUGUUUAAAAAUGUUCAGUGUGCAUUUAAAAAGUUCACCCUAUAUAACACAAAUCACCAUAUAUUCGAAAAAAAAAUAGUUUAUAUUUGAGAAAAAAUUGCUAAAAAAUUGCUCGAUGUAUUUAACAAAUACUCACCGUAUAUGAAAAAAUAUCACUAUAUAUUACAAAAAGUUCAGCGUAUGUUUAAAAAGGUAACCCCGUGUUUCAAAAAAGUUACCAUAUAUUCAAAAAAUAUUAAUUUAUAAAACUAAUUUUUUAAAUUUAAAAAUAAAAAUGAAGAAAAUAGAAACCCAAAAUAAUGUAAAAAAGAAAUAAAACAAAAAGAAAAGAUAUACCUAAAACAGAAAGCCAAAAAGUAGGAAAAAAACCAACAAACAGAAGAACAGAAAAAUGUACAAGAAUAACUAAGAAAAUAAAUAAAAUUAAUUAAGAGAAAAACAAACACAGAAAACUGAAGAAAAAACGUACAAUAAACAACAACAAGAAAACCAAAAAAAAGUAGCAGCGAAGCGAUCCGCAUACUGGGCUCGCCCAACUAGCCUCGCAUGGGCGUCACAGGAUCAAUUUUUCGCCCACGGGCUCCAAAUAGGAUUCGCCCAAUUUCCAAGCGAGCAAAGGGUUACCUUCUUUUUGAGAGCUAGCAAAGGGGUGCGUCAUGUUUGGCUUCGACGGAGCUGGUUGAGCACAUUCUGGCCACGGUGGAACCUGACGCAAAAUCUUGGCUCUUCAGUAUACUUGCUGCGGUAUCACAUGCAGAAAUGAUCCGAGUUGUUGUUACCUUCUGGGCGAUAUGGUUGGCGCAGAGGAAAUUGAUCCAUGAAGGAGAGCACCAAAGCCCUUUGGCGACCUUUUCUUUCAUCAAUAGGUAUCUCUCUGAUCUAGCUUUGGCUCAACCAUCACAGGUGUUAUCACAUGCUCGCCAGCCGCAGGAACAGGCAAGGAAAUGGAUCCUGCCCCCGCAUGGAUAUGUGAAGAUUAAUGUGGAUGGUGUAGUGUGUAGAAGCCCACCUAUUGGUGCAGUCAGCGCUGUAUGCCGGGAUGGACAAUGUGUGUACAUGGGUUCUUCGGCUGUGGUUUUUCACGGGCUGACCGACCCACACAUUUUGGAAACUUUGGCGUGUCGUGAGGCGCUAUCAUUAGGGAGGGACUUGCUACUCCAAAACAUCACAGCGGCCUCGGACUGUCUCUCCGCCAUCAAUGACAUCAACUCAGGAACUCAUGGUAUCACUGGCCCAAUCGUCAGAGAAAUAAAGGACGGUUGUGGUGAUUUUCAGGCUAUCUCUUUUGCUCAUGAAGAACGUCACUUCAAUACGGAGGCGCAUAGUUUAGAUAGACAUGCUUUGCAUUUGGGUGAAGGGCGCCAUGUUUGGCUUCUACAACCCUUUGAUACUCUAUUUAUUCCUGUAAACCGUUCCAUUGAUCAAUAAAGCAUUGCAUGUUUUCCCUAAAAAAAGCAAAGGGGUGCAUCAGCCACCGUGCCGCUUGUUUUUUUUGGCACACUUUUUAGGAUUUUUAUCUGUUUUUUCAGCUUUGGGCAUUUGCUUGAUUUUUUCUAGGCUUUGGUCGACUUUUCUUGCGAAAGUGAUGUUUAUUCCACGAGAAGCGAGGAAGCAUAGUUGUGAUUUCAUGAGAAGCACAACUGUGCUUCCUGCAAAAGCGCAACAUGUGCUUUCACGAGAAGCACAGAUGUGCAUCCUGAAGGAAAAAAAACACAACUAUGUUCUCAGUUUGUUUGUUUUGGCAGUUUCUGUUUUUCUGUCUUCAGUUUUUCUGUGAAUAAAAAGUUUGUCAAAACCUAUUAACAUGAGAUCUGAUUUUGAAAAACUCAACAUGAAAAAUUUAGUGAUAUAAAUGAUUCGUCAUUUGAGCACAUGGUUCAAACGAUCAAAUGUUAUGAGAAAACAUAUCUACAGAAAAAGAUAAAGCUCUUGGUUACAUGCCAUAGAAGAUGAGAAUGACCAUUGCAAGGCAACCCAUGUGUUGGGCUCUGCCUCUUGUUAUCAAACGGACCAACACCAACCACUCUCGAUGCCUUCACUGCUGUCCGCUACUGUGCUGCAACAUUCUGGUAGGCGUCUGACAGAGAUCGGACCAUGAUUACAUGAUUGUUACCAGUUCCGUUUCGUUUGUGACAUGAGCCAGAGCUUAACUCGGUUUAGUUGGUAUAUAUGGUACUCCCUCCAAUGAUACAUAUAAGAUGUUUUGGAUAUUUCAAUAUGAACAACAUACAAACAAACACAGUUCAAAUGAAUGAAAACACACUAAAACAUGCGUAUAUACAUCUGAUUCAGGAAAAAGUAUAAACAUCUUAUAUUGCGGUAGUACGGAAAAAAACGGUUGUGCCAUAUAACACGUCCCUGUGCAAAGUGCAUAAAACCCAUGAAAUGAAUCAGAAAUGGGAGUUUUAUGUUCCAGCAGGUACAGACCAUGUCCCACCAGAUUGAGUCUCCCUUAGUCUCAGAACAACGUGACAAGAUCACAAGUUCCCAAACAGAUGUUUCAAAUUUUAUCACCGGAAUAUAAAGCAGACCCAAACCCCAAUUUAACACACGCUUUUCAGCAAUUGGCAAUGGGAUCUAGAUUAUAAAGGCAAUAGUAGAUCUUUGACACAUUACAGUCGGCACUGGUAGCAAAAAGGUUGGAAUAACAGAUAUCCCUGACAGUCACACAACAAAGAACAGCGGAGUACUUUCCUACAUACGAACCAGACCAAAACAUAGCACCUGACAGUCUACUCAUCCUCCUGGCUGCGGAGCCUGGCAAGCUUGUUGGUAACCACGAUGUCGAGCUGCGCAGCACGCUCAACGAUGUCCUUGCGCUUCUUGGUGGAGACGUUGUGGGCGAUCUCCGCACAGUAGGUCCUGGUUGCAAGAAACAAGGCAUAUUACGAUUAGCAUGACCAUAAUAGUGGAAGACAGUACUGUACAAGGCAUGAUAGACACCCAUUACCUGUUGUGCAUCAUAAGCAGCUCCAGCUCAGACACAUUGUGGACAACAAACUUCUUGAACUUGUUGGGAAGGUAGUGCCUGGUCUUCUUGUCAGAACCGUAGCCAAUGUUGGGCAUCAAGGUGCAUCCCUUGAACUUUCUCCUGACACGGGAAUCAAUACCCUUUGGCCUGCGCCAGCUUUGCUACAAUCAAAAAUGAAAAUAUUGUUCAGUUCAAGCAAAACAUUAUACACAAUAAACAAGAGGACAAGUCCAGAAGAGAUGAAAAAACAAGAUUCAACACAUCUGAAAUACCAAACAACCUGGCAUCACCUGCUCCUUGUGGACUCUAUAAUGGACAAUAAUAAUUUUAUGACAUUCAGAAACAAUGGUAAAUUACAAGCAGUUACCAUCCUACACAAUAAGUUGCCUAGCCAUACUUGUACCAUCGGACAACACAAAAAUAAUUAUAAUUGAGCAAAGCAACAAAUCGCUUGCUGGCUUUGGUGUAUGGGGGUAUACUUGCAACAAAAAAAUCAUAGAACACAAAAUAGAAGAAUAACACACCAAGAAAAUGCUGCUCAGCUCAAGGUUACAUAACAGUGUAGAAGUAGUUAAGCUGAAAGGAUCAGAGAGAAGGUACUAAUCAUGCAGAAAACAUGACUUCUUGAGCGCACAUUGGUAAACAAGUGUUGGGAGAAGUCUAAGCAAAGCAUUCAUACUUAGAAUGAAGCCCACGCCUUUUUUUAAUUCAUCCCACUUCAUGAAGACAUGAAUAAAUUGCUGUAGAAGAGGUUGCGACAGCCACAGUACUUACUAAUGUAAGGGCUAGGGCCCUCUUCAUUUAACCCAAUAUUUGCUCAAGAAGAUGUUUUCUUACUCAGACCUUUUACUAAGCCAUCACUUCCUUUCUUCACAAAGUCAUCAAUAAAACAAGGUAAAACUAAAACACAAAUGCCCGGCUAAGUGUCUACUAUAAGCUUUCAACCCAAUGCUCAUUGAUGAUUUGAUGUACAAGUGCAACAAACAAUUUCAAUUUAAACAUUAGUCGUUCGGUUAUCGAAUUUGUGCUUGUUCAUAUCCUAAAUGGUUUCCACCUUCAGAAAACACAAUAAAUUUCUACAGCAACAUACGCUAAUAUCGUACAACACUAUCGUGCUGAAUCAACGACUUCAACACUGCCAUUUCACAGUAACAUAGCCUAAGCAGAAGUGGUAAAUUUGGCAUACAGCGACUACGUAUCAAAAGUGAAUAAUACUACAAAACGUCAGAGACCUCCAGAUUAUGCAAUGGAGAUACUACAGCAGGCCAUGAACCGCGGUAAACUUUGAAAGUUGAAACGACAGCAUGCUUAACAAUCGGGAUCUAGAACCGGGUAAAAUCAACUGCACGAAGCAAUCAAAACAUGAGGCACUUGUAAUAUCCACUACAUAGAGGUCUUGGGGAAGAGGUAGAUACCUUGAGGCCAAUGUAGCGGUCGCUAUGGGCCCUCUUGAAGUGCUUGACCCUCUUCUUCACGAUCUUCUUCGUCAGAAGCGGCACCGCCAUCUCUGAUCUGUCGGGCAAAACCAGAAGAAGGGGUUCGAAUCAGACAACGAGGCUAAAAUCACCCGGAAAAACGAGGUGGGAGCUCGUCUGCGAGCUUGCUUGCUACCUUCGGGAGCGAACGGCCCUAACCCUAACACGAAGAGAGGAGGAAGAAGAGCGGCGGCGGGGAUGGAAUUGCAAGGCGACGCAGUCUUUAUACCCUCCACAAACCCUAGUUACAUGGGCUCGAAUGGGCCAGUGCGGUCUAGCCCGAAAAAUAGAAAGUUAAGCCCGGUACAUUGCAAUAACUUGCCCAGUUGCAGAGUGGGCCUCCGUUUCUAGAGGCGAGGCGAGAAAUGUCGCCCUCCGUCUCCGCCGCCGUUCUCCGCCGCCUCGGCGACCGGCUCGGCCUCCGCCGACUCGCCACGCUCCCCGACUACGCGGCCGGCGCCGAUGAGCUGCCGCAGCACCCCACCUCCAAGGACGCCUACUUCGCGGCGGUCAACCACCUCUCCACCAUCGUACGGCGCGACUUCUACCUGGAGCGCACCCUGAACCGCCUCCGCCUGCCGUCCCCCUUCCCGCCGGACCUCGCGCUCCGCGUCAUCCGCGCCGCUGCCCCCUCCGAGCCCCUCCACGCCGCCCGCUUCCUCGCGUGGCUCCGGGCGAAGCCCAAUUUCUCCCCCUCCGCCGAUCACUUCGACGCGCUGCUCCUCCCGCUCGCCCGCGCGCGCCUCUUCACCCACCUCUGGACCCAGGCCUCCGACAUGCGCGCGCUCGGCCUCCCCCUCUCUCCGGCAACCUUUUCGGCGGUGAUCUCGUCCUACGGCCACUCCCGCCUCGCCGAGCAGGCCGUCGAGGUCUUCAAUCGCCUUCCCCACUUCGGGUGCCCGCAGACCACCGAGGUCUACAACGCCCUUCUGGACGCGCUCUGCGCCAACGGCAACUUUGCCGGCGCCUACAAGCUGCUCCGCCGCAUGGCGCGCAAGGGCGUGGCCCCCGACCGCGCCACGUUCAGCACGCUCGUCGACGCCUGGUGCGCGUCGGGGAAGCUCCGGGAGGCGCAGGCGUUCCUCGACGACAUGUCGUCCCGCGGGUUCCGGCCGCCGGUGCGCGGCCGGGACCUCCUCGUCGACGGGCUCGUCCGAGCUGGGCGCCUGGAGGAAGCCAAGGCAUUCGCCCUCCGCAUCACCAAGGAGGGCGUCCUUCCCGACGUGGCCACGUUCAACUCGCUCGCCCAGGCGCUUUGCGAUGCUGGUGAUGUGGAAUUCGCCGUGGGUCUUCUUGCCGAUGCUUCCAGUCGUGGCAUGUGCCCAGAUAUCUCAACUUACAAAGUGAUGCUACCGGCCGUGGCCAAGGCUGGCCGAAUUGAGGAGGCAUUCCGAUUGUUCUAUGCGACUAUUGAGGAUGGCCACCGGCCCUUCCCAAGUCUAUAUGCGGCGAUCGUCAAGGCGCUCUGCAAGGCAGGUCGUUUCGCUGAUGCUUUCGCCUUUUUUGGUGAUAUGAAGUCCAAGGGGCACCCACCCAAUCGGCCUGUGUAUGUGAUGCUUGUCAAAAUGUGUGUGAGAGGUGGUCGGUUCUUGGAUGCUGCAAACUACCUUCUUGAGAUGAGUGAGGCUGGGUUCGCGCCACGGGCGCCAACCUUUAACGUUGUAGUCGAUGGGCUGCGGCAUCUUGGGAAACAUGACCUAGCCCGGAGGAUGGAGCAGCUUGAGAUGUCACUAAAAGGAAACUGAAUGGAUCCGGAAGUAGAUGCGGUCUAGUGGGGCGCUGCGAAUUGCUUGGUAAAGUUUCUGAAUUACUAGGUUGGGCUCCUAUCUUCUAAUUGCAUUUCAUGACAUAGGCCGCCAGUGCUAUGCUGUUGGACUGUGACUGGUAUGCUUGGCAAGUGAUUUAUUUGUUUUCGGUAGGAAGAAUCAAUGAAUAAGGCCAUCAGAUAGCCUCAACUAAUUUGCUCAAAAUUGUGCAGUGUAGGUUCACAAGAAAAGUAGUGGUGGAGUAGGCACUAAGUUCAGAAGAAUGUAAGUUUUGUGGUUGCAUAGAUAAGAUUAUUGAAAUAUCCAUGGUCCAUUGGUGUUUGAUCAGGUGUUUUCACUGUUCAAUUUAGCACCAACUCUGUGCUCCAUGAUAAUUCAGUAUAAAGAUUGGAGCCAUGCUACCUUGUAUGAUUUAAAACUGUAUUGUUGAGAUGUCACUAGAAGGAAACUGAAUGAAUCGGGAAGUAGAUGCUGUCUAGUGGGGUGCUGUGAAUUGCAUGGUAAAGGUUCUGAAUUUUCAGGUAGGAUUCCUGUCUUCUGAUUGUAUCCUGUGACAUAAACCAAUGUUAUGCUGUUGGACUGUUGGAUAUGCUGGUCAAGUGAUUUGUUUGUUUUGGGUAGGAAGGAUCAAUGAAUAAGAUCAUUGGAUAGCCUCAACUAAUGUGGUCAAAUUUGUGUAGUGAAGGUUAACAAGAAGAGUAGUGGUGGAGUAUGCAGUAAGUUGAGUGGAAUUUAAGUGUUGUGGUUGCAUAGAUUAGAUUUUGAAAUAUCCACUGCCCCAUCGGUGUUUGACCAAGUGGACCAGGUGCUUUCACUGUUGAAUUUAGAACCAACUCUGUGAUCCAUGAGAAUUCAUGUAGAAUAAAGAUUGGAGCCAUGAUACCUUGUACGAUUUGAGAUCGCGUUGUAGAGAUAGGGCUGACUACUGAUAUUGUGUGCUGAAACCUCAAGGCAAAUCACUUACCAUUGCAAGGUUGAGGUCCCUGUGUUGUCUUCUGGACAAAAGAACAACACAGUAUGAGUCUUAAUGGGGGAGAUUUCAAUUUUUUGAGAUUGACAGUGCUCCGCCUUUUUGUAGAAUGCACAUUUGCGGAGACAAAGUGAUACUGAAAAUGGUUAGCUGUUUGAAGUGUUCAAAUCAGUUUAUGGUGGAAGUGUUUCGUUGACCAUGCAUCAGUUUUAACUUUUAAGAUAGUUUGGUAGUACAUUGCAAUUGAUUCAUAUAUGUCCUGCACCACAGCACCGACACUCUUCUUUAAGGAUGAACAAUGUGAGAAUGGCCCCUGUGAAUCAGCAUACUGCAUGAAAUGAUUGUUACUCGUCCUUUGUAAUGACUAUGAUGAAGGUUGUUCUGCUUCUGCAUAGCUGUUGGUUGUUGCUUUAUGUUUUUUCCUUCCUUUUUUUGUGUGCAGUGUUUCAACUUUGCCCUUCGUGAGCAUCAGAUACUCGAUUGGCAUGCAGAAUUGGACUUACCUUACAGUGUCCUAAUACCUUCUGACAAGGAACCAUCCGGGUGCACCCAACGAGAUCAAAGCUGAAUGAACCUAUGUUGUUACAUCAUGUGGCCAGAAUAGCCGGGCAUGCGGUGGCUCGACGUUCACAAGCUGAUUACAGGCUAUUGUGUCUCCUGAACAUACUACUGCAGAACUCAAGAACUCCCCAGUGAUUUGGGGAAGGAAUUUGCCUUGCGUUCGAUGGUCUGCCUUCUGUAUGGCGACAAACUACUGUCACGGCGGUGUUAGUAAGCGUAUGGGCACGACUGCAGAAGGGGGGAAUGCAGAGAUGUUUUGAAAUCAGGAGGUCAGCUAUGAACCUAUGACUGAUCACACCGCUGAGGAAUGCAAAUUCGAGAAGCUGAGGGAGGAGUUGAUGAUGAGAUACAACAUUGUCUUGCAUUUCAUAGACUGGGAAUCGAUUUUUUUUCUUGUGAAAAAACAUUGCUUAAUGUGAAUGUUGCAAUGAACUGAUAUACCUUGUCUUUUUUCCCGACCGAAGGUCUUUUGAAGAUGUAUACAUUGUUCAACUUUCCGUGAUGGAAAUUGUGGGUAAAUUCAGUUGGUCCAAAUACAAAGGCUCGUUCUGAAGUGCGAAAUGCAAAACCACAACGUGUAUGAAUGAUUUUGGUUACUUGCUUGUAAGUUAGUGGGUAUCAAUCUCGAGUUUGUCAAAAAAAAAUAGUGGUAUCAGUCUUGCAUUAUUUUUUUACCGGAACUGCAGAAGCUCGGCAUUUUCAUUAUGGGGUAAAGCAAAACUGUACAGAGACUAGGAACUAGCCACGAGGAGGGAAAAGGAGAGGAAGAGCGUUAGAAAAAGAUAGACAGAGAACUACCAGAGGAUUGCGCAGAAACAGCAAAACAUUACUAGAGGAGUGCGCAGAAACAGCAAAACGGAUCACUCUGAGGCCUCCUUAAGGAGGCUGAUUUCAUCUCUGAUAAUCAGAAGAACGCUCUGAGGGGUUGCCCGCUUGUUAUUGAAGAUUCUCGCAUUUCGUUCUUUCGAAAUCCCUGAAGCAAUGUACGUAUGCAGCAGCAGUGCGCUCAUCAAUCUCAUUCUUCUUUUUGUAAGGCACUCAGCAUUUAGACCACCAAUCCGAGAACAAUUGUGGAGAGUCAGCCGCGAGUGAAGCACUGGGAAAGUAAGCUCCAACGCAGCACUCCCUCUUUCCGUCUAUAUAGGACCUAAUGCAUUUUUUGAGGCUAACUUUGAUCAAAUGUUAGAGCAAUAAUAUAUGGUAUGCAAGUUACACAAAGCAUAUCGUUAAAUUUGUACGUGAAAAGAGCUUCCAGUGAUAUAAUUUUUACAUUAUACAUAUUGUGCAUUAUUAAUCUUAUUAUCAAUAGUCAAAGACAGUCUUAAAAUACGCAUUAAGCCCUAUAUAGAUGGAAGGAGGAAGUAACAAAUUUCCUUUGCAAAAGGGUAGCUAAGGGCAUUUCUAACCGAUCCCCUAUAACCGGUUAGUGGUGUAUAUUUAGCUUUUUACUCCACUAAUCGGCACCUAGUCGAUCUCCAAUCCAGCCUAACAGAGUAUAAUUUUACUCCUCUCCCUAAAAAAAUUCCUAUUUUUAAUCCCUCUUUGCUCCGCCGAGUAAAACGACGCGGCUCUCCUCUGCUGCCUCUCCCUUCCCUCCCACGCCGCAUCUUCGCCCCCGCCGCCCCUCAUACCCCUCCCCCCUCCCCGUCGGCACCGGUCGGCCGCCGGGAAAGCCUUGUAGGCCUCUGCCGCUGUCCUCCACCACCUUCUCGUCCCGCCGUCGGCCAAAAAUCAAGGGGAUCUGCGGCUGCUGUCGUCGCCGCCGGAUAUGGCGUUUCGGGCCACCAGCGGCUGCGCCUUGCCAUGGAUUGGUCGAGAAGCAGACCACACAGCCCCGGCUAAGCCUCUGCGCCGCAUGCAUGUACCGCCUCUUCCUCUAGCAACUCUAAUCGCUCCCGCCGUCGGUUCUCCGGCAACUACACGGCCGACCAUCGCCCGGGCUCGGCGCUCGUGCAGCGGCUCACCGACUUGCAGCUGGCGGUCAUACAAUACGACGACUGCACACGACAAGUGGUGCGCCAAGUUUCUACCACGCUGAAACAUCACGGAUGGGUGUUCUUCAAAUGCACAAAUGAUGGGGUAUGUGCUUGUUGAUUCGGUUUUUCACUGGAUUCGGUUCAAUUUCGGUAGCUCAUUGAUGCUCAUCUAUGUGUGUAGGAUGAUGGAUGCUUGUUUUGGUAUUGGAAGAAGAAUACAUCAAUCUAUUAAUAGCACGAAAAUUAGUAGAUGUUUGUGCACUCGUUAUAAUUGAGGCUAAACGUGAGACUAGAUGUGCGAUUAGAGAAGAAAAUAGAGGGGAAGCAACGUCUACUUUUUUAGAAUCAAAGAAGAAGAAUGAACUAUGCAAGAUCGAUAAUCCGCAGAUCAACAAUGAAGGCAUCGAGAAUAUACUAAUGCAACUAGUCAGAGUAGUUAUGGAAGUUGGAUAUCUUCUAAAAUGUCUAAUUGCUCUUCUAGCAAAGAAUUGGUGAAUUAUUAUGUAAUCGAAUGUCGUUGAAUGAAAUAAAGAAGCAAAGAAAUGUGUUUCGGUAGCCGAACUUGAAAUGCAAAUGAAAAAAAAUACUCUGUUAAGUUUAGGGGAUCGGCUAGGUCCGGCCAAAACUUAGUGGAGUAUUUAUACUCCACUAAGCCUUUUACUCGCUUAACUUUUUGGAGAUCGGUUAGAGUUGCCCUACGAGCCACUUGGUGGCAUUCCGGAACUUUGGCUUUGGCAGCGAUCCAACAGAGAUUAUGUUGGGAAUGGUUGCAUGGAAAAUAAAAAAAAUUAUACGCACACGCAAUGAUCUAUCCAUGGAGAUGCAUAGCAACAAGGAGAAAGUGUGUCUACGUACCCUCGUAGACCGUAAGUAGGGGCGGAUCUGGGCCCCAGGCCCGGGGCUUGACAAUUUUUUUAGUUAUUACCUAUGCAUGUUUUUGAAUGAGCCCGGGGCUUGGCCCAAUACACACCCAGCCAUCCAGGGCCAAGGCCAGGCUGUCCUCAUCGCUCGCAGCCUCGCACUAGGACUGGCUCGCACGGGCGCAUCAAGCCACCGCUCGCCCCUGCUCCCUUCGUUCCCCAGACCUAGAUCGACGCAGGCAGCCGCCGCCGUCGCCGCCCACCAGUGACUUCCCUCCGGUCCGCGCUCCCCUGCUUGCCUACUCCGCCGCUCCCCACCUGCUCGCCUGCUAUGGCUCCACGGUCCACACCUGCUCCGCCGCCCGCCCGCGCCCUCCGCCGCUCGCCCAGCCUGGGCUGGUCGCCUAGUCACCUGAUGCUCGCCGGCUCACCGCCUCGACCUCUCCUGGCUCCACGCAUGAGGGAGUCCUGGAUUAGGGGGUCUCCGGACAGCCGGACUAUAUCCUUUGACCGGACUGUUGGACUAUGAAGAUACAAGAUUGAAGACUUUGUCUCGUGUCCGGAUGGGACUCUACUUGGCGUGGAAGGCAAGCUAGGCAAUACAGAUAUGUAUAUCUCCUCCUUUGUAACCGACCUUGUGUAACCCUAGCCCUUUCCGGUGUCUAUAUAAACCGGAGGGUUUUAGUCCGUAGGACAACAUACAAUCAUACCAUAGGCUAGCUUCUAGGGUUUAGCCUCUUCGAUCUCGUGGUAGAUCAACUCUUGUAAUACCCAUAUCAUCAAGAAUAAAUCAAGCAGGACGUAGGGUUUUACCUCCAUCAAGAGGGCCCGAACCUGGGUAAAACAUCGUGUCCCCUGCCUCCUGUUACCAUCCGCCUUAGACGCACAGUUCGGGACCCCCUACCCGAGACCCGCCGGUUUUGACACCGACAUUGGUGCUUUCAUUGAGAGUUCCUCUGUGUCGUCGCCAUUAGGCUUGAUGGCUCCUUCUAUCAUCGAUAGCGAUGCAGUCCAGGGUGAGACUUUUCUCCCCGGACAGAUCUUUGUGUUCGGCGGCUUCGCACUGCGGGCCAACUCGCUUGGCCAUCUGGAGCAGAGCGAAAGUUACGCCCCUGGCCACCAGGUUAGGUUUGGAAGCUUAAACUACACGGCCGAUAUCCGCGGAGACUUGAUCUUCGAUGGAUUCAAGCCUCUGCCUUGUGCGUCACGCGGUCACGAUGAGUACGAUUUAGCUCUACCAUCAGACGGUGUUCAGGAGAUCGCACCGGCAGCCGCUCCGACCCUCAAUUCGGAGCCAGUUGCGCCGUCCAUGGACGGGUGGAUGGACCCCGCCACAGAGGCCUUACCCUCAGCAGCGAUCGAGCCGAACAUUGACCUUACCCUGCACGAGAGCCGUGUUGUCAAACUGCAGGAUCCUUCUCCGGCCACGGACUCCGAACCGCCUGCGCCCGUUCCUAGCGAAUCCGAUUGGGCGUCGAUCAUGGAGUUUACCUCCGCGGAUAUUUUUCAGCACUCGCCCCUUGACGACAUACCGAACUCAUUAAGGUCUCUCUCCUUGUCAGGAGAAUCCUGGCUGAACUAUGUCCGGCAGGUUUGGGAUGCGGAUGACGAAGAAAUUCACCGCCCACCCACCACCCACUUAGUAGCCACUGUCGAUGACUUAACCGACAUGCUCGACUUCGACUCCGAAGACAUCGACGGUAUGGACGACGAUGCAGGAGACGAACAUGAACCACUGCCCACAGGGCACUGGACGCCCACUUCACCACAUGACAUAUACAUGGUGAACACACCAAAAGAAAACGACGACGAGGAACAGAUGGACGCAACGAAGGGUUGUCCCCUUGAGAAGCAGUCAAAGCGGCGGCGUAAGCGCCGCUCCAAAUCCCGCCUCGGCAGAAACAAUGAUCAUAUAGACCCAGCGUUAGAGCAGGGUGAACCAUCUCCGGACCAUGGCAACAUGGAGAAUCAAACCGAACAACCCGACUCUGUCAAAGAUAAUAGUCCGGACGACAUCACACCGGACAGACACCCGGAGCAACAUAAUGCCCGUCAAAGGCUUGUUGCCACCGCGAGGAGUCUAAAAAAAUAGAAGCGAAGGCUCAAAGCUGCGCACGACACACUCAGAAUCAGAUGGAGUAAAGCACUCAACUCAGCAGCGAAGUACGGCGGUAAUCGCCCCACCAAGAGCUACCCAAAGCGGAAGUUUCUACCUGAAUUCAAUGAGGAGGCCUUAGAUCCCCCGCAACUAAAAAUUAAAACGGCCAUCUGGCCGGAUAGACGACCUCACGGCCAACAUAGAGCGGCAAACAACGCCGCACAUAAGCCAAUACGCGAUCCACGCGAGGGCUCGCAUCAAAAGGACGGCGCAGCCAGAUCCAUCUAUGGACCACGCAAGCGCGCUCCAGCAUACGAUGCAACACAACAAACAUCCGAACACCAUGGUACACCUAGAUACAGGAGUGCCGCACACCCCCUAUGUUUCACCGACGAGGUGUUGGACCUUGAAUUUCCAGAGGGAUUCAAACCCGUAAACAUAGAGGCAUACGACGGAACAUCAGACCCUGGGGUCUGGAUUGAGGACUAUAUCCUCCAUAUCCAUAUGGCUCAAGGAUAUAAUCUCCACGCCAUUAAGUAUUUACCCCUCAAACUCAAAGGGCCAGCUUGGCACUGGCUUAAAAGCCUCCCCGAAAACUCCAUUGGAAGCUGGGAAGAGCUCGAAGAUGCUUUUCGGACAAAUUUUCAAGGGACUUAUGUCCGACCUCCAGACGCGGAUGAUUUGAGUCAUAUAACUCAACAGCCCGGAGAGUCAUCCCGAAAGCUUUGGAACAGGUUUCUUACUAAAAAGAACCAAAUAGUCAACUCUCCGGACGCCGAAGCCUUGGCAGCUUUUAAGCAUAGCAUCCGCGACGAAUGGCUUGCCAGACACCUCGGCCAAGAAAAGCCGAGAACAAUGGCAGCAUUAACAAGCCUCAUGACCCACUUUUGCGCGGGUGAGGACAACUGGCUAGCCAUAUGCAGCACCAGCGACCCAAGUACAUCCGAAGUUAGAGAUGGAAAUGGGAAAUCACGACGCAGCAAAAAUAAUAAGUGCCGGAAUAAAGAAGACAACCCGAAGAGCACGACGGUAAACACCGGAUUCAUAAACUCUCGGCCAGGUCAGCAAAAGCCGCCCUCUAAAGGCAGCAGAGACGAACUGUCCAGCCUAAACAAAAUUCUGGACCAAAUAUGUCAGAUCGAUAGCACCCCUGGUAAACCCGCUAAUCAUACCCACAGAGAAUGUUGGGUCUUCAAGCAGUCCGGCAAGCUCAACGCCGUACACAAGGGGGAGGAUACACCAAGCGAAGACGAGGAUGAGCCUCUCAAGCAAGACACUGGGGAACAAAAGAAAUUUCCACUAGAAGUCAAAACAGUAAACGUGUUACACGUGAUCAAGGGGAGAAAGAAAGCGGCACUCCCAGAGAAAUAUGCCCAAGGGCCUAUCACCGCGGAGUCCGGCCACUGGUCAUCUCAACCGAUCACUUUCGACCAUCGGGAUUACUCAGCAAGUAUCCGACAUGCAGGAUGGGCUGCCUUGGUAUUAGACCCAAUAAUUGACGGAUACCAUUUCACACGAGUCCUGAUGGACGGUGGCAGUAGUCUAAACCUGAUAUAUCAGGACACAAUCCGCAAAAUGGGGAUAGACCCAACGAAAAUUUGCCACAGCAAUACUACCUUUAAAGGAGUAACGCCAGGCCCAGGGGCUCAUUGUACAGGCUCCCUGCUACUAGAGGUUAUAUUUGGCUUCCCCGAUAACUUCCGUAGUGAAAAUUUAACCUUCCACAUUGCUCCGCUCCAAAGUGGCUAUCAAGCACUACUUGGACGCGAAGCUUUCGCUCGCCUUAAUGCAAUACCGCAUUACGCUUCCCUCACGCUUAAGAUGCCUGGUCCAUGUGCCAUCUUACAGCAAAUGGAAAUAUGGAGCGAUCCCUGCGCGCCGAAGAGAGUGCGGCUGCCUUGGCAGUCGCACACUAAAACGGCCUCACCAACUAAAGCAUUCGAUAGGUCGUCAAGACUACGGACACGGUUAGACGAGUCCGGCGCAGCUAUCUGUAAUUCAUACAGGUUUGAUGGCCGUACCCCUAUUACAAACACAAGGGGCUCAACGCGCGCAGACAAGUGGCAAUUUUUACUCAUCUUGAAUUAUAGAUGGUUUCUUUAAACCUACCUUUUUGCACGACAACUUUUCACCUAAGUUCCUCUCUUCUACGUCUUGAGCUUGCGUUGGUUUUCCCCGAAGAGGAAGGGAUGAUGCAGCAAAGUAGCGUAAGUAUUUCCCUCAGUUUUUGAGAACCAAGGUAUCAAUCCAGUAGGAGGCCACGCUCAAGUCCCUCGUACCUGCACAAAGCGAUAGCUACUCGCAACCAACGCGAUUAGGAGUUGUCAAUCCCUUCAUGGUCACUUACGAGAGUGAGAUCUAAUAUAUAUAAUAUUUUUGGUAUAAAGAUGCAAAGUAAAAAGUAAAGGCAAAGUAAAAAAAGCAAAGCAAGAUUAAAGUGAUGGAGAUUGAUAUGAUGAGAAUAGACCCGGGGGCCAUAGGUUUCACUAGUGGCUUCUCUCAAGAGCAUAAGUAUUCUACGGUGGGUGAACAAAUUACUGUUGAGCAAUUGACAGAAUUGAGCAUAGUUAUGAGAAUAUCUAGGCAUGAUCAUGUAUAUAGGCAUCACGUCCGUGACAAGUAGACCAAAACGAUUCUGCAUCUACUACUAUUACUCCACUCAUCGACCGCUAUCCAGCAUGCAUCUAGAGUAUUAAGUUAAAAAUAGAGUAACGCCUUAAGCAAGAUGACAUGAUGUAGAGAGAUAAAUUCAUGCAAUAUGAAAUAAACUCCAUCUUGUUAUCCUCGAUGGCAACGAUGCAAUACGUGCCUUGCUGCCCCUUCUGUCACUGGGAAAGGACACUGCAAGAUCGAACCCAAAGCUAAGCACUUCUCCCAUGGCAAGAACUACCAAUCUAGUUGGCCAAACCGAACGAAUAAUUUGAAGAGACUUGCAAAGAUAACCAAUCAUACAUAAAAGAAUUCAGAGAAGAUUCAAAUAUUAUUCAUAUAUAGACUUGAUCAUAAACCCACAAUUCAUCGAUCUCAACAAACACACAGGAAAAAGAAGAUUACAUCGAAUAGAUCUCCACAAGAGAGGGGGAGAACUUUGUAUUGAGAUCCAAAAAGAGAUAAGAAGCCAUCUAGCUACUAACUAUGGACCCGAAGGUCUGAGGUAAACUACUCACACUUCAUCGGAGAGGCUAUGAUGAUGUAGAAGCUCUCCGUGAUGACGGCCCUCUCCGGCGGAGCUCCAUAACAGGCCCCAAGAUGGGAUCUCGUGGAUACAGAAAGUUGCGGCGGUGGAAUUAGGUUUUUGGCUCUGUAUCUGUUCGUUUGGGGGUAUGUAGGUAUAUAUAGGAGGAAGGAGUACGUCGGUGGAGCAUCGAGGAGCCCACGAGGCAGGGGGCGCGCCCUAGGGGGGGCGCCCCCACCCUCGUGACCGCCUCUUUGAUGCCUUGGCGUAGGGUCCAAGUCUCCUGGAUCACGUUCAGUGAGAAAAUCACGUUUCCGAAGGUUUUAUUCCGUUUGGACUCCGUUUGAUAUUCCGUUUCUUUGAAAUACUGAAAUAGGCAAAAAACAACAAUUCUGGGCUGGGCCUCCGGUUAAUAGGUUAGUCCCAAAAAUAAUAUAAAAGUGGAAAAUAAAGCCCAAUAUAGUCCAAAAUAGUAGAUAAUAUAACAUGGAGCAAUCAAAAAUUAUAGAUACGUUGGAGACGUAUCAGGCAUCCCCAAGCUUAAUUCCUGCUCGUCCUCGAGUAGGUAAAUGAUAAAGAGAGAAUUUUUGAUGCGGAGUGCUACUUGGCAUAAUUUCAAUGCAAAUCUUCUUAAUUGUGAUAUGAAUAUUCUGAUUCGAAAGAUUCAAGACAAAAGUUUAUAUUGACAUAAAAAUAAUAAUACUUCAAGCAUACUAACAAAGCAAUUAUGUCUUCUCAAAAUAACAUGGCCAAAGAAAGUUAUCCCUACAAAAUCAUAUAGUCUGGCUAUGCUCUAUCUUCACCACACAAAGUAUUUAAAUCAUGCACAACCCCGAUGACAAGCCAAGCAAUUGUUUCAUACUCUAACUUUUUCAAUCUUCACGCAAUACAUGAGCGUGAGCCAUGGAUAUAGCACUAUAGGUGGAAUAGAAUGGUGGCUGUGGAGAAGACAAAAAGGAGAAGAUAGUCUCACAUCAACUAAGCGCAUCAACGGGCUAUGGAGAUGCCCAUCAAUAGAUAUCAAUGUGAGUGAGUAGGGAUUGCCAUGCAACGGAUGCACUAGAGCUAUAAGUAUAUGAAAAUUCAAAAAGAAACUAAGUGGGUGUGCAUCCAACUUGCUUGCUCAUGAAGACCUAGGGCAAUUUGAGGAAGCCCAUCAUUGGAAUAUACAAGCCACGUUCUAUAAUGAAAGAUUCCCACUAGUAUAUGAAAGUGAUAACAUGAGAGACUCUCUACUAUGAAGAUCAUGGUGCUACUUUGAAGCACAAGUGUGGUAAAAGGAUAGUAACAUUGUCCCUUCUCUCUUUUUCUCUCAUUUUUUUAUUUUUUAUUUUUAUUUGAGCCUUUUCUCUUUUUUAUGGCCUCUUUUUUCGUCCGGAGUCUCAUCCCGACUUAUGGGGGAAUCAUAGUCUCCAUCAUUCUUUCCUCACUGGGACAAUGCUCUAAUAAUGAUGAUCAUCACACUUUUAUUUUUCUUACAACUCAACAAUUACAACUCAAUAUUAGAACAAAAUAUGACUCUAUAUGAAUGCCUCUGGUGGUGCACCGGGAUAUGCAAUAUGACAAUGAUAGAGUGUGUCAUAAUAAACAGAACGGUGGAAAGUUGCAUGGCAAUAUAUCUCGAAAUGGCUAUGGAAAUGCCAUAAUAGGUAGGUAUGGUGGCUGUUUUGAGGAAGGUAUAUGGUAGGUGUAGGAUACCGGCAAAAGGUGCGCGGUAUUAGAGAGGCUAGCAAAGGUGGAAGGGUGAGAGUGCGUAUAAUCCAUGGACUCAACAUUAGUCAUAAAGAACUCAUAUACUUAUUGCAAAAAUCUAGAAGUUAUCAAAGCAAAGUAUUACGCGCAUGCUCUUAGGGGGAUAGAUUGGUAGGAAAAGACCAUCGCUCGUCCCCGACCGCCACUCAUAAGGAAGACAAUCAAUAAAUAAAUCAUGCUCCGACGUCAUCACAUAAUGGUUCACCAUACGUGCAUGCUUCGGGAAUCACAAACUUCAACACAAGUAUUCUUUAAAUUCACAACUACUCAACUAGCAUGACUUUAAUAUUAUCACCUCCAUAUCUCAAAACAAUUAUCAUGCUUCAAUCUUUUCUUAGUAUUCAACACACUCAAAAUAAAGUUUCACAAAUCUUGAAUACCAAGCAUAUUAUUAUUAAGCAAAUUACCAUGCUAUUAAGAGACUCUCAAAAUAAUUUAAGUGAAGCAUGAGAGAUCAAUAGUUUCUUUAAAACAAAUCCACCACCGUGCUCUAAAAGAUCUAAGUGAAGCACAUAGAGCAAGAUUAUAACGCUCAAAAGAUAUAAGUGAAGCACAUAGAGCAAAACUACUUAGCUCAAAAGAUAUAAGUGAAGCACAUAGAGUAUUCUAUCAAAUUUUAAUUCAUGUAUGGCUCUCUCAAAAGGUGUGUACAGCAAGGAUGAUUGUGGCAUCCUAAGACAAAAAGACACAAAUAAGACAAGACUCCAAGCAAAACACAUAUCAUGUUGGUGAAUAAAAAUAUAGCUCCAAGUAAAUUACCGAUGGAAGUGGACGAAAGAGGGGAUGCCUUCCGGGGCAUCCCCAAUCUUUGACUUCUUGGUGUCCUUAGAUUAUCUUGGGGGUGCCAUGGGCAUCCCCAAGCUUAGGCUCUUGCCACUCCUUGUUCCAUAAUCCAUCAAAAGAAUUCACCCAAAACUUGAAAACUUCACAACACAAAACUUAAAGUAGAAAACUCGUGAGCUCCGUUAGCGAAAGAAAACAAAAGACAACUUCAAGGUACUGUAGUGAACUCAUUAUUUAUAUAUAUUGGUGUUAAACCUACUGUAUUCCAACUUCUCUAUGGAUUAUAAACUAUUUUACUAACCAUAGAUUCAUCAAAAUAAGCAAACAACACACGAAAACAGAAUCUGUCAAAAAUAGAACAGUCUGUAGUAAUCUGUAGCUAGAGCAAGAUCUGGAACCCCAAAAAUUCUAAAAUAAAUUGCUGGACGUGAGGAAUUUAUCUAUUAAUCAUCUGCAAAAAGAAUUAACUAAAUAUCACUAUUCAAAUAAAAAUGACAGCAGUUCUCGUGAGCGCUGAAGUUUCUAUUUUUUACAGCAAGUUCAACAAAACUUUCCCCAAGUCUUCCCAACGGUUCUACUUGGCACAAACACUAAUUAAACACAAAAAAAAUUGUAACAUCCCAAAUUUUCAAUAUGGAAUGCUAUACACUAGAUCAUCAUUGCAUAUCAUAUUUAUUGCAUUUUGGUUGAUCCUAGAAAUUUCACGCAACUCAAGGACCCUCGGAGAGAGUUGGGGAUUUCGUUAUUUUCAUAUUUGAGUUGUCUCAAAUUUUGAAAAUAGGAUCAUUUGAUUUUAUUUAUUUUAUCUUCAAUUAUUUCUAUUACAAAAAUAUGAGAGAGGGAAUAAAAUGACUUUCCCAAAAAUAAAGAAAUAUUAAGGAUUUAAUAAAAAAAUCAAAUAAGAUUUUAUUUGGUUUUAUUUGCUAUUUUAUUUGAAUUUAGGAAAAAUGCGCAUUUUUCAAAAUUGCAUUUAGGCCCCAAAUAAAUGUUCAUCCUGUGUAGCUUGAUUUUAGAAGCCGGGGAAAAUUUAUUUCGGGAUUUUUGGAGUCCGUUUAGUAUUUCUUUUGUUUUUUCUUCAAGCGUAAUUAUUUAAAAAAAAGUUCGAACCGACCUUGGUCCGUAACCGGCCAGGACUCCUCCUGGCCGGGCCUUUUUAUAGUGCCCCGAGGACCCGGCCGAAGCCCAAGCCGCCCCACCCGAAAACCCUAACCCUAGCCGGCCCCCGCCACCGCCGCNNNNNNNNNNNNNNNNNNNNNNNNNNNNNNNNNNNNNNNNNNNNNNNNNNNNNNNNNNNNNNNNNNNNNNNNNNNNNNNNNNNNNNNNNNNNNNNNNNNNNNNNNNNNNNNNNNNNNNNNNNNNNNNNNNNNNNNNNNNNNNNNNNNNNNNNNNNNNNNNNNNNNNNNNNNNNNNNNNNNNNNNNNNNNNNNNNNNNNNNNNNNNNNNNNNNNNNNNNNNNNNNNNNNNNNNNNNNNNNNNNNNNNNNNNNNNNNNNNNNNNNNNNNNNNNNNNNNNNNNNNNNNNNNNNNNNNNNNNNNNNNNNNNNNNNNNNNNNNNNNNNNNNNNNNNNNNNNNNNNNNNNNNNNNNNNNNNNNNNNNNNNNNNNNNNNNNNNNNNNNNNNNNNNNNNNNNNNNNNNNNNNNNNNNNNNNNNNNNNNNNNNNNNNNNNNNGCCGCCUCCGUUCGCCGGAGUCGCCGGAGAUAGUUUUUUUUCGUCUCCGUUUUUUCUCGAAAAACCGUUCGAUUUUCCGAUGGUUUUGUCCAUUUUUUUUGUUUUGGUUUUUUAAAUAGAUCGGUUUUCCGGUUUAUUUAAAUAGCGAGCGUUCGCCUGUUCAUUCGUUUUAACGAAUGUUCGUUGUUUUUCUUUUCUCGGAAUUAAAUCCGCGAUUUUUCUGAUCGCGAUUUCUGAUCCGAUUUUCGUUUUAGUCUAACUUUUCGCUCGUUUAUCGGAAUCAGGCGAUUCAAGUGCCUGGAGUUUCAUCUCGAAACCCUCUUUCCGUUUAACCAACUCAAACAAGUUUUUUCCAUAGUAAAAAUUGCCCUAUAUCCAGAAUAGUAACCGAAGCCUGUUUGUUUUGCCGUUUGUCUUUCGUUGCUUCGUUUGGUUUGAUUCUUUUUGCCAACCGGAGUUCUUAAGUUGAAUCUUCUGGUUAGAUCUCUUAUUUGAGUUUUGCCUAUGCAUUAGUUGAGUACUUAUUGUAUGCUUGUUUGUUGCGAUAGAGUACUCAGAGUGCGCCGCUUGCUACUUCGAAUCGCUAGGUUUCCCGGAUCAUCAGCAAGGCAAGUAACACUUUGAUCAUACUUUCCCACUACCCAGUUUUACUGCAUUAGAUCAAUCCUCACACAUUGCAUGAUUAGGAUCUAAUUAAAUUGUGGGUUUGGGAAGUAGUUGAGGUAGUACCUAUUACCUGUUUAUUAUCAAACCUUUGGGAGUUACUUCUACGUUUGCUUAUUAUGCCAUGCUAUGCUAGUAGACGUGGAUUGGGUGAGUGUAUCCAUGACAGAGGUGAGAUUGUUAAUUAAUGGUUUAUCUAAGGUGGCAACUUAAACACACAUCUGGGUGGACUGAGGCACCUGGGUAUUCCAGCGAUUGCCUGUUAUUCUUUUGGACUGCCACCCAAGCUCAAAGGGAUCAUGAGAUUAUUCAUGCUAGAAACUUCCGUGUGCAGCCACAAGCUAUUAUGGGCUCUAGCAUAGUUAAUUAAGUUGUGCAAACUCUUACAGUGGUAGACUAGCAGAUAUAGGGGAAAGUAGGUGUAACAGUCUACCCGAUCGUAAGGUGCUAGCGCUUCUGAAAGACUAUGUUUCAGUCAUCCGUCUUCUCAAACACCAUGUAGUGCGAGAAACCAAACGGAGGCGAUCGAGUCUUGUGGGGAAAAGUGCGCAAACCUUUGCAGAGUGUAUAAACUAAUCAUGAUUAGCCGUGUCCCCCCUUUAUGGACAUCUUGAGUAUCUAGUACCUGGAUUAUCAUGUGAAUCUCAACAUGUUACUCUAAAAUUUAAUUUUGUUGGGUUUUGUUUAAUGAUGAUGCUUAAUUGGGAUUGAGAAUGCUGUCAACCAUUCUCAAUGUUUAACAACUACCAUGAUAGUUAAAUAAAAUUUAUUCCUUUGCAGUAGGGAAAAAUUGGCUUUACGCAAAACUGUAACCAUAGAGCUUUCCACCAGCCAAAUAUGCAUAUAGAAUAGCCUGUUUCAUUCCAUUACUCUCUAUGUGUUACUUUGCCAGCAUAUUCCAUGUGCUGACCCAUUUCGGGCUGCAACGUUAAUGUUGCAGACUUCUCAGAUGACGAUUAAGGAGUUUUUAGGUCGUGGUUCUAUACUCAAUGAUGCUGUUGGAGUUGAUGGACUCACUUAUCUUCCAAGCCUUCCGUUGUUGUUGUUAUUAGAUGGCCUUAAGCCAUAUUUAUUGUAAUAAGUUCUCUUUCGAGACACUCGAUGUAAUAAGUGUGUGAUUGCUACUCUGUUAUAAAUCCUUCAAGUACUGUGUGGUGUUAGCAUUACUGAUCCAGGGAUGACACCUGAGCACAGAGAUUGGACCGUUUGAGGUAUGGUCGCUACAAGAUGGUAUCAGAGCACAUGCUGGCUGUAGGACACGACCACUAAGCUAAAGACCUAGAUCUCUACUUACUCUCUUCUCUUUCUGACUUCGCGUCUUUUCUACUCUUUUAGGAUGGUGGAUGCAAGGAACAAGUUCACGCAACUAGAUGAAGAUACACCCUUUGGACGUCACUUGAAGGAAGUCACUAGAUACCUAAACAUAGGAGUACCAAGCUUCACCGGAACCUACAACGCCACUUUACCUGAAGAGGAGCGCUGGAUAAUUCAAGUUCAAGUUCCAGGAAGGACGUUCAUGCCAGUCACUGAGCCCAUAGAGUUUUCUUUUGAUGCACCAACUUGGAGUCUAGGAAAGAGCAUGGCAGCUCACAUCGCCAUGGGACGUAUUGGAGAAGUCUACCGCAAUGAUCUUAAGGAUACUAUCUACCAGAUUUGUGGGCGCUGAGAUGAGCACUGGGAGAUGAUCAGCACCAGAAAGGAUAGAUCAGUUGCAGCUUUUAUCCAGGAGUUAAACCAACACAUUCGACGUCAGGAAAACCAGAUGUGCGCCGACAUGAUAGAUCAGAAGAAGGCGAGGACAAGAAUCACGGAACUGGAGGAAGAACUCAAGGCUACACGUGAAGAUUAUGAAGAGGAAAUCGAAGUAUUAGUGGAUAAGAAUGACAAUCUGAUCAAGAAGAUUGGAAUAUUCAUGGGAGGCCCUACACCAGUAGAAGAAGAUGAAGAACCCAAGGAGAUUCGUCCGGAAGACUACCUCAUCAUCGACGACACCAACUCGGACCUAGAUGAUAGCGAUGAUGACUACGUUGAUGAAGCUGGAGCAGAUAUCAUGGAGUCUGCAACCGAAGAAUAUUUUUAGUAGACCACCUCAUCAGUAGUAGUAGUCCACCAUGUAAAUAUAGUAGUCCGAGCACUUUUGCGAUAGUUAGAUCAAUUGUAUGCCUUUGUUUGAUUGAUUGAAUGAAGUGAAUUGUUUGCUUUUGCCUCAUGUGCAUAUGGGUAGUGUUUUCUCAUUAGACCCCUCUCUAUUCUUAAAUCUCAUAUUUUCUAAAACCUCAGAUGCCUCCGAGAUGUGACCCCGGAUUUACCUUCCCACCGGAGCUCACCCAAUUGAUGCAGCAGCAGAACACAUUGAUGCAGUUGUUAGUCCAGAAUCAGAAUCAGGGGAACAACAACAACAACCCACCACCACCACCACCACCUAUUGAUCACUUAGCCCAUUUUCUUAGGCUGAAUCCGCCGGUGUUUUCCAGUAGCACCGAGCUGAUAGUAGCAGAUGAUUGGCUCCGCAAGACAGCUAGAGAGUUGACCACAGCAGGAUGCACGGAUGCGGAAAAGGUGAAGUUUGCCGCACAUCAGCUUGAAGGACCCGCAACAUCAUGGUGGGAGAAUUUCACAGCCACUUUCCCUGUUGACACUAUCACAUGGGACCAGUUUCAGCAGGCUUUUCGAACUGCCCAUGUUUCAGCAGGAUCUAUGACCAUGAAGAAGCGAGAGUUUCGCAAUUUGCGCCAAGGAGGACGGACAGUUGGCCAGUAUGUGGAGGACUUUAGUAAAUUAGCACGUUAUGCCCCAGAUGACGUUGCUACGGGUGCAUCUAAGCAGGAGAAGUUUCUGGAAGGACUGAAUGAUGAUUUGAGCAUGCAGUUGAUGGUAGCCACCUUCAACAGCUACCAGGAGUUGGUAGAUCGUGCUCUCAUGAUUGAAGGGAAGCAACAACAGAUUGAGAAUCGCAAGAGGAAGUAUGGACAAAGGAAGCACAAUUCAGGAGCUCAGCAGAAGCCACGUUUUACCCCUAGACCGGGAGGACAUUUUCAGCAUACCCAUGGAGGAAGUAGCUCGCACAAUCACAACGACACCAAGAAUGGUAAUGGGAAUGGAGGAAGCAACGACCAGAACCGCACCAACCCAUCGACCCCAGCCAAGAGAGACCUGAGCCAAGUCACUUGUUUUAAGUGCCAGAAGACCGGACAUUAUGCCAAUGAAUGUCCUGAAUCCCAGAAUGGAAAUGGCAAUGGGAGCUUUGGGAAGAAGCCAAACCCUUUCAACAGGGGACAGGUGAACCACGUUAACGUGGAGGAGGUUGAAGAGCAGCCGGAUGCAGUAAUCGGUAAGUUUUUGGUUAAGUCAUUUACUGCACUUGUUCUUUUUGAUACCGGUGCACCGCAUUCAUACAUAUCAAGGGGAUUUGUGGAUAAGUAUAACCUGCCCACCAAAGUUCUUAGAACACCUAUGUUAGUAAGCUCACCAGGAGCGGAGUAUAUGGCUAGCCAAGGAUGUUUUCAAGUGCCAUUAAGUAUAGGUAGGCAUGUGUUCCCCUCGGAUUUGAUAAUAUUGGAAUCACAAGGUUUGUAUGUAAUUCUGGGUAUGGAUUGGUUGUCGAUGUAUGGAGGAAACAUCGAUUGCGCCAGUAAGUUGAUCUUGCUUACCACCCCAGAAGGGAGAAGGAUCAAGUAUGUAUCCCGACAUGUGCCGAAGAGGACUCAAGUAAAUUGUUUAAUAGGAGUUGUGUAGAAGGAAGUACCAGUAGUGAAGGAUUUCCCUGAUGUAUUUCCAGAAGAAUUGCCAGGCAUGCCACCGGAUAGAGAUAUUGAGUUUUUGAUUGAGCUUUUGCCAGGCACAGGGCCAAUAUCAAAGAGACCAUAUAGGAUGUCCGCAAAAGAUUUGGUGGAGAUUAAGAAGCAAAUUAAGGAGUUACUGGAUAAGGGAUAUAUUCGCCCAAGUUCAUCGCCUUGGGGAUCACCAGUACUUCUAGUGGAAAAGAAGGAUGGAUCGUUAAGGAUGGUUGUUGAUUAUCGAGGAUUGAAUGAAGUAACCAUCAAGAACAAAUACCCACUACCGAUGAUCAAUGAUCUGUUUGAUCGAUUGCAAGGAGCUAAGGUAUUUUCCAAGAUCGAUCUGCGAUUAGGAUACCAUCAGUUAAAGAUUCGAGAACAGGAUAUACCUAAGACGGCUUUUACCACCAGGUAUGGGCUGUACGAGUAUACUGUUAUGUCAUUUGGUCUGACUAACGCACCUGCAUAUUUUAUGAACAUGAUGAACAAAGUGUUUAUGGAGUUCUUGGAUAGGUUCGUCGUAGUUUUCAUUGAUGAUAUCCUGGUUUACUCAAAAAAUGAAGAGGAGCAUAAGGAGCAUUUGCGUUUGGUACUUGGAAAGCUCAGAGAACAUCAAUUAUAUGCCAAGUUUAGCAAAUGUGAGUUUUGGUUGAAGGAAGUUGGAUUUCUCGGACAUGUUAUAUCCGGAGAAGGUAUAGUAGUAGAUCCCACUAAAGUUGAUACCAUGACCAAGUGGGAAGCACCAACAACAGUUGGAGAGAUCCGGAGUUUUCUUGGACUCGUAGGAUACUACCGGAGGUUUAUUGAGAAUUUCUCAAAGAUUGCGAAGCCUAUGACGGAGUUGUUAAAAAAGUAUACCAAGUUCAAAUGGACUGAGGAAUGUGAGGCUAGUUUCCAGGAGUUGAAGAAACGUUUGGUUACCUCACCAGUAUUGAUUUUGCCAGAUCAAACCAAGGAUUAUGAGGUGUAUUGCGACGCUUCACGUCGAGGACUUGGAGCAGUGCUUAUGCAGGAAGGAAGAGUUGUUUCAUAUGCCUCACGAUAGCUUAAGCCCCAUGAGUUGAAUUAUGCUAUGCAUGAUUUGGAGUUAGCAGCCGUAGUGCAUGCAUUGAAGACUUGGAGACAUUUUCUGAUUGGAAACCAUUGCGAGGUGUACACGGAUCACAAGAGUUUGAAGUAUAUUUUCACACAGAAGGAGUUGAACCUCAGACAAAGGAGAUGGUUGGAGCUCAUCAAGGAUUAUGAUAUGAAAUUGCACUAUCACCCCGGAAAGGCUAACGUAGUAGCUGACGCGUUAAGCCGUAAGAGCCAUGUCAACACCCUAAUGACGGGAGAUUUACCAAGGGAGCUAGCAGAAAAUCUUCGAGAGCUAUGUUUGGAAAUAGUUCCAAGAGGCCAUGUAGCCGCAUUGGAGAUUCAGUCUACUUUGAUGGAUAAGAUCAGAGAAGCCCAGAAGACUGACAAGGAGAUUGCUUCUAUUAAGGAGAAAAUGAGCAAAGGAAAAGCUAAGGGAUUUCAUGAGGAUGAGCACGAUACCUUAUGGUUUGAAGACCAUGUCUAUGUACCAAAUGAUUCGGAGAUCAGGAAGUUAAUUUUACAAGCGGCCCAUGAUUCACCGUAUUCGAUUCACCCAGGAAAUACCAAGAUGUAUUUGGAUUUGAAGGAUAUUUUCCGGUGGACCGGAAUGAAGAAGGAUAUUGCGGAAUAUGUAGCGGUUUGUGAUGUAUGUCAGAGAGUAAAGGCAGAGCAUCAGAAGCCAGCAGGAUUGCUACAGCCAUUGCCGAUACCCGAAUGGAAGUGGGAUAAGUUAGGCAUGGAUUUUAUUACAGGAUUGCCCAGAACACGUUCAGGCUAUGACUCGAUAUGGGUUGUAGUCGAUCGUUUGACAAAGGUAGCUCAUUUCAUUCCAGUAAAGACUACCUAUACCAGUGCAAAGUUGGCAAAGAUAUAUAUGACCAGAAUCGUUUGUCUGCAUGGAGUUCCAAGGAGCAUAGUAUCAGAUAAAGGAACCCAAUUUACCUCAAAGUUCUGGAAUCAGUUGCAUGAAACUUUGGGAACCAGACUGGAGUUUAGCACAGCUUUCCACCCGCAGACAGAUGGACAGACUGAGAGAGUCAAUCAGAUUCUGGAGGAUAUGCUAAGAGCUUGUGGGCUAGAUUACGGAUCUAGUUGGGACGAGAAUUUGCCAUAUGCAGAGUUCUCUUACAACAACAGCCAUCAAUCCAGUUUGAAGAUGACCCCUUUUGAAGCCUUGUACGGAAGGAGGUGCAGGACCCCAUUGUCUUGGGAUGAAGUUGGAGAUCGCCAGUUGUUUGGACCAGAUCUGAUAAGGGAGUCUGAACAGAAAGUGAAAUUGAUUCGCGAUAGGCUCAAGGUAGCCUAAUCCAGGCAGAAGAGCUACGCAGAUUCUAAACGCAAGGAGACAAUUUAUGAAGUCGAAGACCGAGUUUAUCUUCGAGUAUCACCACUUCGAGGAGUUAAGCGCUUUGGAGUUAAGGGAAAGUUAGCGCCACGUUUUGUAGGCCCAUACAAAGUUUUGGAGCGUAUGGGAGAAGUAGCCUACAGGUUGGAAUUGCCCAAAGGAUUGUCGGGAGUUCACGACGUGUUCCAUGUAUCCUAGUUGAAGAAGUGCCACGCAGAGAUGGCUGAAAUACCGCUGAGAGAUACGGUACCACUGGAAGCAAUUCAGUUGGACAGUGAUUUGACCUAUGAGGAGAAACCAGUUAAGAUUCUAGAGUAUGCCAGUCGAGUCACCCGCAGCAAGGUUAUCAAGUUUUGCAAGGUUCAGUGGAGCCACCACACGAAGGAUGAAGCCACCUGGGAACGAGAGGAAGAUUUGCUGAAGGACCACCCUCACCUAUUUUCUAGCCAACCCAAAUCACAAGGGCGAGAUUCAUCUUAAGGGGGGUAGGUUUGUAACAUCCCAAAUUUUCAAUUUGGAAUGUUAUACACUAGAUCAUCAUUGCAUAUCAUAUUUAUUGAAUUUUGGUUGAUCCUAGAAAUUUCACGCAACUCAAGGACCCUCAGAGAGAGUUGGGGAUUUCGUUAUUUUCAUAUUUGAGUUGUCUCAAAUUUUGAAAAUAGGACCAUUUGAUUUUAUUUAUUUUAUCUUCAAUUAUUUCUAUUACAAAAAUAUGAGAGAGGGAAUAAAAUGACUUUCCCAAAAUAAAGAAAUAUUGAGGAUUUAAUAAAAAAUCAAAUAAGAUUUUAUUUUGGUUUUAUUUGCUAUUUUAUUUGAAUUUAGGAAAAAUGCACGUUUUUCAAAAUUGCAUUUAGGCCCCAAAUAAAUGUUCAUCCUGUGCGGCUUGAUUUUAGAAGCCAGGGAAAAUUCAUUUCGGGAUUUUUGGAGUCCGUUUAGUAUUUCUUUUGUUUUUUUCCGAGCGUAAUUAUUAAAAAAAAGUCUGAACCGACCUUGGGCCGUAACCGGCCAGGACUCCUCCUGGUCGGGCCUUUUUAUAGCGCCCCGAGGACCCGGCUGAAGCCCAGGCCGCCCCACCUGAAAACCCUAACCAUAGCCGGCCCCCGCCGCCGCCGCUGGNNNNNNNNNNNNNNNNNNNNNNNNNNNNNNNNNNNNNNNNNNNNNNNNNNNNNNNNNNNNNNNNNNNNNNNNNNNNNNNNNNNNNNNNNNNNNNNNNNNNNNNNNNNNNNNNNNNNNNNNNNNNNNNNNNNNNNNNNNNNNNNNNNNNNNNNNNNNNNNNNNNNNNNNNNNNNNNNNNNNNNNNNNNNNNNNNNNNNNNNNNNNNNNNNNNNNNNNNNNNNNNNNNNNNNNNNNNNNNNNNNNNNNNNNNNNNNNNNNNNNNNNNNNNNNNNNNNNNNNNNNNNNNNNNNNNNNNNNNNNNNNNNNNNNNNNNNNNNNNNNNNNNNNNNNNNNNNNNNNNNNNNNNNNNNNNNNNNNNNNNNNNNNNNNNNNNNNNNNNNNNNNNNNNNNCCCGCCGGACCACCGCCGCCGCCGUUUGUCGGAGUCGCCGGUGGUAGUUUUUUUUCAUCUCCGGUUUUUCGACAGUUUUGUUCGUUUUUUUGUUUCGAUUUUUUAAGUAGAUCGGUUUUCCGGUUUAUUUAAAUAGUGAGCGUUCGCCCGUUCGUUCGUUUUAACGAACGUUCGUCGUUUUUCUUUUCUCGGAAUUAAAUCCGUGAUUUUUCUGAUCGCGAUUUCUGAUCUGAUUUUCGUUUUAGUCUAACUUUUCGCUCGUUUAUCGGAAUCAGGCGAUUCAAACGCCUGGAGUUUCGUCUCGAAACCCUCUUUCUGUUUAACCAACUUAAACAAGUUUUUGCUACUGUAAAAAUUGCCCUAGAUCCAGAAUAGUAAAUAAAGCCUGUUUCUUUUGCCAUUUGUCUUUCGUUGUUUCGUUUGAUUUGAUUCUUUUUGCCAACUGGAGUUCUUUAGUUGAACCUUCUGGUUAGAUCUCUUAUUUGAGUUUUACCUGUGCAUUAGUUGAGUACUUAUUGUAUGCUUGUUUGUGGCGAUAGAGUACCCGGAGUGCGCCGCUUGCUACUUUGAAUCGCUAGGUUUUCCGGAUCAUCAGCAAGGCAAUUAACACUUUGAUCAUACUUUCCCACUACCCAGUUUUACUGCAUUAGAUCAAUCCACACACAUUGCAUGAUUAGGAUCUAAUUAAAUUGUCGGUUUUGGAAGUAGUUGAGGUAGUACCUAUUACCUGUUUAUUAUCAAACCUUUGGGAGUUACUUCUACGUUUGCUUAUUAUGCCAUGCUAUGCUAGUAGACGUGGAUUGGGUGAGUGUAUCCAUGACAGAUGUGAGAUUGUUAAUUAAUGGUUUAUCUAAGGUGGCAACUUAAACACACAUCUGGGUGGAUUGAGGCACCUGGGUAUUCCAGCGAUUGCCUGUUUUUCUUUUGGACCGCCACCCAGGCUCAAAGGGAUCAUGAGAUUAUUCAUGCUAGAAACUUCCGUGUGCAGCCACAAGCUAUUAUGGGCUCUAGCAUAGUUGAUUAAGUUGUGCGAACUCUUACCGUGGAAGACUAGCAGAUGUAGGGGAAAGUAGGUGUAACAGUCUACCCGAUCGUAAGGUGCUAGCGCUUCUGAAAGACUAUGUUUCAGUCAUCCGUCUUCUCAAACACCAUGUAGUGCGAGAAACCAAACGGAGGCAAUCGAGUCUUGUGGGGAAAAGUGCGCAAACCUCUGCAGAGUGUAUAAACUAAUCAUGAUUAGCCGUGUCCCCCGUUAUGGACAUCUUGAGUAUCUAGUACCUGGAUUAUCAUGUGAAUCUCAACAUGUUACUCUAAAAUUUAAUUUUGUUGGGUUUUGUUUAAUGAUGAUGCUUAAUUGGGAUUGAGAAUGCUGUCAACCAUUCUCAAUGUUUAACAACUACCAUGAUAGUUAAAUAAAAUUUAUUCCUUUGCAGUAGGGAAAAAUUGGCUUUACGCAAAACUGUAACCAUAGAGCUUUUCACCAGCCAAAUAUGCAUAUAGAAUAGCCUGUUUCAUUCCAUUACUCUCUAUGUGUUACUUUGCCAGCAUAUUCCAUGUGCUGACCCGUUUCGGGCUGCAACAUUAAUGUUGCAUACUUUUCAGACGACGAUUAAGGAGUUUUUAGGUCGUGGUUCUAUACUCAAUGAUGCCGUUGGAGUUGAUGGACUCACUUAUCUUCCAAGCCUUCCGUUGUUGUCGUUAUUAGAUGGCCUUAAGCCAUAUUUAUUGUAAUAAGUUCUCUUUUGAGACACUCGAUGUAAUAAGUGUGUGAUUGCUACUCUGUUAUAAAUCCUUCAAGUACUGUGUGGUGUCAGCAUUACUGAUCUAGGGAUGACACCUGAGCACAGAGAUUGGACCGUUUGAGGUCUGGUCGCUACAAAAACACAACCAAAACAGAGGCUAAAUAAUUUAUUUAUUACUAAACAGGAGCUAAAAGCAAGGAAAAAAAUAAAAUUGGGUUGCCUCCCAACAAGCGCUAUCGUUUAAUGCCCCUAGCUAGGCAUAAAAGCGAAGAUAGAUCUAGGUUGUGCCGUAGUAAUAAGAUAGACCGGUGAAACUCAUUUCAUAUUCUCUAUGUUUGGCAGCAAGUUUCCUUUGAGGCAAGCAAAGGUAAUCAAAAGGGCUGAAUUUAAUAGGACAGAAGUCCCCAAGAUCAAUUUUAGGAGGUAUAGGUUCCUCUUUCGGCCCUUCAUAUUGUACAACCAAUUCAUCAUUAUAAGCAUUCUUUUGACAGAACCUUGUGAGCCUAAACUUAAGAGAGCACCCUAGCUCGUUAUUUCGAUUAGCCAAAUCAUCAUUAAGUUCAGAGAUUCUAUCAAUUAAAAUAUUGAUUGGCACAUUUUUCUAAGGUUUUCAUUAAAAGCAACAUAAUCAAGGGAUUGAAAGCGCAUAAUUUCUUCUUGAUCGAAGAGGAUAGAUUCUAUGGGAGGACGACUAGCGUCCACCCUAUAGUGCGCAAAGAUUUCUUUGGCUUCUUUUGUUAUAAAUCUAAAUUCAUGAAAAAAGAUAGUAGCGGCACGCUUAACAGAAGAUGCUCGAUAUUAGAAAAUUCUAGGAAAAUUCUUUGUAUAGAUGGGUGCAUAUGCAUAAAUUGCCUUUCAAGUUCAACGAUAAGCAUGGCAAUAGCGUCCGCAAGACUACUAGUUCUAUGAAGAAUAGAACUGCCCGUAGAGGGUAAAGCACCGGCACAAGUAAAGAAAUCUUGAAUAACUCCUUUUCCAAUAAUAUUACCACUACCGAUUCGAAAUCUUUUUGUAUGGUAGGUAGGGGGUUCUUCAGCCAGAGCAUCAGAAUUUUCUAUGACAUUUUUAUCGCCCAUAUUGGCGAUAACUUCCCCAAUUUCCGACAUAACGACAAGCAAGCAAACAAGCACGCGAGCAAACAAAAGGCAAGCAGAAAGGAGAGGGAGGAAAGAGAGAGAGAGAGGGCGAAUAAAACAGCAAGGCUGAAGUGGGGGAGAGGAAAACGAGAGGCAAAUGGCAAAUAAUGUAAUGCGAGAGAUAGGGAUUGUGAUGGGUACUUGGUAUGUUGACUUUUUGCGUAGACUCCUCGGCAACGGCGCCAGAAAUGGCUCGUUGUCGGGAGUCAAAUCUUGACUUGCACAAACAUCCCUGGCAACGGCGCCAGAAAUCCUUCUUGCUACGUCUUGAGAUUGCGUUGGUUUUACCCGAAGAGGAAGGGAUGAUGCAGCAGAGUAGCGUAAGUAUUUCCCUCAGUUUUUGAGAACCAAGGUAUCAAUCCAGUAGGAGGCCAUGCUCAAGUCCCUCAUACCUGCACAAAAUGAUAGCUACUCACAACCAACGCGAUUAGGGGUUGUCAAUCCCUUCAUGGUCACUUACGAGAGUGAGAUCUGAUAGAUAUAAUAUUUUUGGUAUAAAGAUGCAAAGUAAAAAGUAAAGGCAAAGUAAAAAGCAAAGCAAGAUUAAAGUGAUGGAGAUUGAUAUGAUGAGAAUAGACCCGGGGCCAUAGGUUUCACUAGUGGCUUCUCUCAAGAGCAUAAGUAUUCUACGGUGGGUGAACAAAUUACUGUUGAGAAAUUGACAGAAUUGAGCAUAGUUAUGAGAAUAUCUAGGCAUGAUCAUGUAUAUAGGCAUCACGUCUGUGACAAGUAGACCGAAACAAUUCUGCAUCUACUACCAUUACUCCACUCAUCGACCGCUAUCCAGCAUGCAUCUAGAGUAUUAAGUUAAAAACAGAGUAACGCCUUAAGCAAGAUGACAUGAUGUAGAGAGAUAAAUUCAUGCAAUAUGAAAUAAACCCCAUCUUGUUAUCCUCGAUGGCAACGAUGCAAUACGUGCCUUGCUGCCCCUUCUGUCACUGGGAAAGGACACCGCAAGAUCGAACCCAAAGCUAAGCACUUCUCCCAUGGCAAGAACUACCAAUCUAGUUGGCCAAACCAAACGGAUAAUUCGAAGAGACUUGCAAAAAUAACCAAUCAUACAUAAAAGAAUUCAGAGAAGAUUCAAAUAUUAUUCAUAGAUAGACUUGAUCAUAAACCCACAAUUCAUCGGUCUCAACAAACACACCGCAAAAAGAAGAUUACAUCGAAUAGAUCUCCACAAGAGAGGGGGAGAACUUUGUAUUGAGAUCCAAAAAGAGAGAAGAAGCCAUCUAGCUACUAACUAUGGACCCGAAGAUCUGAGGUAAACUACUCACACUUCAUCGGAGAGGCUAUGAUGAUGUAGAAGCCCUCCGUGAUGACGGCCCUCUCCGGCGGAGCUCCAGAACAGGCCCCAAGAUGGGAUCUCGUGGAUACAGAAAGUUGCGGCGGUGGAAUUAGGUUUUUGGCUUCGUAUCUGUUUGUUUGGGGGUACGUAGGUAUAUAUAGGAGGAAGGAGUACAUCGGUGGAGCAUCGAGGGGCCCAUGAGGCAGGGGGCGCGCCCUAGGGGGGGGGGGCGCCCCCACCCUCGUGACCGCCUCUCUGAUGCCUUGGCGUAGGGUCCAAGUCUCCUGGAUCAUGUUCGGUGAGAAAAUCACAUUUCCGAAGGUUUUAUUCCGUUUGGACUCCGUUUGAUAUUCCGUUUCUUUGAAAUACUGAAAUAGGCAAAAAACAGCAAUUCUGGGCUGGGCCUCCGGUUAAUAGGUUAGUCCCAAAAAUAAUAUAGAAGUGGAAAAUAAAGCCCAAUAUAGCCCAAAACAGUAGAUAAUAUAGCAUGGAGCAAUAAAAAAAUAUAGAUAUGUUGGAGACGUAUCACUCUCUUUUAUAGAUGACCAUCAUGCUACACCCAUCUAGGAUACGGCACAACGGAGACACAGGCGCAGACGUGUAGCAGGGACCCAUUCCAAGGAUUCUUUUUAGAUUAAGACCCUGCAUAAACCUUUCUUACUGUCUCUUGUUGAUACACAUCCUUCGGAUUCUCAGUACUAUUGAGAAGGAUGCUGGCGUCUUGGCAUGUGGCCACGUCAGAAUAAUGCACGUACCUGGACACCAGGGGCUUCUUAUAAAGGGCACUGUUUAGGCCCAGUUUAUACCAUAAAGACCGAAUACCUUAGGGAGUGUUCGGCGUCGCGAGUUUGGCCUUAUAUGCAUCAGCUCCGAAUCAUGUCUUUGGUCAAAUGUUGGGUUUUCUCGACUCCUGUGUUUUGCUACCAUACGUUCCGCUCUAUCGGCUAAGGCGGCACCAGGAGAACUACUGCGAUUGUGCUGCGGUUCAUCCGGACAAGCACCUCAGUAGAGAAAGUCGAAAAUUGACUGUCAUGAUAUAGCGUGAGACUGGUCAACCACUCGAUGACCUAUCGGAAUGUUAGAAUUCCUCCGCCUUAACGAAGGGCCAUUUCCCGGCCAGGCAUGUACGCACCCCGAAUUCGGGAGAGUGCAGAGCCACCAGGGGCUAUAUAGUAGCCCCACCGUCAAACUCCUAUGGCUAAGUGAAAGUGUUAAAGCAUUAUAGUCCGGUUGCCUCGUUCGCUGCGCUAUCACCUCCUUAAUAGGACCAAGACGUUGGGUUAAGUGUGAACACGCGUCUUCUGCGAACACCUCCGCAUUAUAUGCGUGGGGGUUGAAGCCGACGACUGCAAUCUUUCAGGUUAUAUACAUAUAUACAUAAACGGCCGCACAAGAGGCAUCAUAUUACUUCCAGGCAAAAGUAUAAAUACAACCUUAAUAAAUUUCAUAAAAACAUUGUGUUUACAAUGGGAAUACAUGUCACUCAAGCAUAAUAUUCUUCGAGCACUGGGCCUCUAUCAAAAGAGCACCCUCGAGAACUUCUUCGAAAUAGUACUCGGCAGCCACUCGGCCUAUGGCUGAACCCUGCGCCGCAACAGUGGUAGCAUCCAUCUCCGCCCAGUAUGCUUUGACACGGGCAAGGGCCAUCCGCGAGCCUUCUAUACACGCCGACCUGUUCAUCACAUUGAUGCGCGACACCGCACCAAGGAACUGCUGCACUAAGCUGAAAUAGCUGUUCGGCUUCGGUUUUUCCGGCCACAGAUGAUCUAUGAUGGACCUCAUGGCGAGUUCGGACAACCUAUUGAGUUCGGCCCAUUCGGCUAGCUGAUCAGUCAAUGGAAGUGGAUGCUCUGGAACGUUAAACUGCGACCAGAACAGCUUGUCCACUUCACGAUCUGUUUGAUCCCGGAAGUAUUCGGCCGCAUCGACAGCGCUCGCCGCCAAGUCCAUAUAUGCGUCUGUCGAACUCCACAGCCGAUCCAGAGGGGCAUACCGCGGAUCUCCGAACUUCCUCCGCAGCAUAAAGGGCUUCCCAGCCGCAAUAUCCCCGGCUUCACGCAGCUCCUCCUUCUUCGCCCUCAUAGCAGAGCGGGUGUCUUUGGUCGCCAUCGUGACCUUUUCAAGGUCCGUCGCCUUCACUCGAUUUUCUUCUUCAAGGAACUGGCACCGGUCAGCAAUGUCUUUUAACUUUACAGCCAUCUUGGCUAUCUUCUCCUUGCUCUCGCAAUGCGUGGCCUUCUCGGCUCUUAACUUUUCGGCUGCCUUCAAAGCAGCCACAUUACUACUCCUUGCUUAUUCUUUGGCUCGGGCAAGUUCCGUCCGAAGGGUCUCCACGGUGGCAGCUCCAUCUGCAGUCACAACAUAUUAAAGAUACUGGCACCACGCUGCUCUUACUAUGUGACAUUCACCAGAAAACAUUACUUACCCUGUGCCGCUUAAGUUCGGCAAACUCAUUAGUCCGGCUAGCCACCGGAGCUUCCACCACCUGCACAUAAAGGCGUUUUGGUUAUUACCUGGGACUACGAUCCUCUGUUCGUCGCCGUUCUCGAUGAUAACCAUAGUCUCAGGGGCUACUAUCUACACAGGGCACACCUAAAAAUGUGCGGUACUAUCAAAAAGUAUAUCAUUUCACGUACCUCAAAGCCCGCCAGUAGACUCAUAAAGGCUUCAUGCAAUCUGCAUUCGGCGGACGAAAUUCUUUCCAUCACCGUACCCAUCAACGUACGGUGUUCUUCUGAGAUGGCCGCUCGCUCCAACAGCUCCCUCAGUACGUCCGACCGUAUACCAGACGGUGCCGGACUCUUUUGUUUGCUCUCUUCAAGAGCCGGACGCUGGGGACUUUGGGUGACUAUAGGAUUAUCUUCUGGCCUCAUCGGAUCUGGAGAGGCCCUCCGUGAUGACACUUCAAGGUCGCCCGCUUCUUGAGCGGGGGAGUCCGGGGGAGGCGUUUCGCUCUCCAUCAUUUCCGGAAGAAGAUCCCCCGAAGACGAGCUCUGCUGAGAAGGGCUAAUAUCCGAACUGCAAGAUAAAUGCUUCGGUUAUUUUCCUCAGAGGUAAGGUAGUAUAUCUUCACUAUUAAAGUACUUUUUGAUUACUUACAGCUCAUUAGAGGGCAGAUCCCCGCGCGGACUUUGUGCGGCAAGAGCACCCUCCAAGGCAGGACCCUCUGGCGGAGACUUCUUCUCCCGUUUGGAAACCUUGGUGUCCGGAUCUUCAGAGGUAGUCCUCUUCCUUCCCCGGUGUGAGAGAAUGUCAGAUUCCUCCCCUUGGUUAUCCUCCCUCACGGAGGCGCCCGUUCCCUCGGUCGGAAUAGGUAGCGGUGGAGGCCCACUUUUGCCCUCUUUAUUCCCCCCUUUAUCUUCCUUUGAGGUCUCCGAGCAAGGUGCUAGCUCGAGCAUCUUUUCCAGUACCGGAUUUUCCAAACCCUCAGGAAGGGGGGCCGAACACCGAAUCAUCUUCGCCUUUGUUAGCCAGUCCUGGUCAAAGAGCAAUUUCUCAGAAUGACGUCAUGAUAAAUGAAAGACGGUGUGUUCGGCUAGAGGAUUACUUACUUGGUCAGCGGUACGGUUGCUGCUCAGGCCCACGUCCUCGGUAGUGUCCGGACACUCCAUUUGGGGUCCAAAGAAUGAUUUAUACAUCUCGUCGUGCGUCAGGCCGAGGAAAUUCUAAAUAGUGCGCGGUCCUUCUGGGUUGAACUCCCACAUGCGGAGGGGCCGACGUUUGCAUGGCUGGAUUCGUCGAACCAGCAUGACUUGCACCACCAUAACCAGACUGAAAUCUCCUUCGAAGAGAUCUUGAAUGCGGCUCUGCAGUACAGGCACAUCCUUGGCUGGACCCCAGCUCAGCCCUCUACUAAUCCAUGACAUCAGUUGUGGUGGAGGGCCCGAGCGGAAAGCAGGGGCAGCCACCCACUUGGCACUUCUAGGGGCUGUGAUGUAAAACCACUCCCGUUGCCAUAAUCCGGACACCUCUGGAAUGGAACCCUUUGGCCAUGAAGCUCCAGCGAUCUUGCUUAUUAAUGCGCCUCCGCAUGCUACAUGCUGCCCCUCGACCAUCUUCGGCUUCACGUCAAAGGUCUUGAGCCAUAGGCCGAAGUGAGGGGUAAUGCGGAGGAAGGCCUCACAUACGACAAUAAAUGUCGAGAUGUGGAGAAAGGAGUCCGGGGCUAGAUCGUGGAAAUCUAGCCCGUAAUAGAACAUCAAACCCCUAAUGAAGGGAUCCAGAGUGAGGCCUAGACCUCGGAGGAAGUGGGAGAUGAACACAACGUUCUCGUUGGGUUCAGGAGUAGGGACGACCUGCCCUCGGGCAGGCAGCCGAUGCGAAACCUCGACGGUCAGGUAUGUGGCCUCCCUCAACUUCUUGAUAUCCUCUUCCGUAAUGGAGGAGGGCAUCCACGGGCCUUGAAGGCUAGAUCCGGACAUGAUUGAAGGUCCGAAGCACCUGACCUGGGCUUUGGGUGUUAGAACUCAAGGCGGGGGAAGGAUUCGAUUGAGCACAAGAGGGAAAAAGUAAAAGCCUUGUCCCUUUAUAAAGAGGGUGAAUAUCAAGCAUCCUCUCCGUAGCCGUUUAGGACUUGCCUAUAAUCUGGGAGUCCUAGACACGGUUGGGUUACCCACGACCGUAUUGAUGAGAAUCCCAUAAUUAGGGGAACACGAUCUCUGCUUUGACAAGACGUGUCAAGAAACCGCCUCGCGUUAUGUGUGGAGCUGGUUGAAGAAAAACGGUUCGAAUAAUCACCGAGCCAUGUCAUGAUGUCAUGUUGCCAAAACGUGUCAGCAGAUUAAUAUUUGUGGAAAUAUUAUUCUCUCUAUGGUGGUAUGUGGAACUUAUUUUGCAGGGUCAGACACUAUCCUUGUAUUCAAAUUCUUCUGUGAUGUGUUCGGAGGACGAACCCGCCUUGCAAUGCCGAAGACAACACUGCGCGCCGGACUCAUCGUCAUUGAAGCCUGGUUCAGGGGCUACUGAGGGAGUCCUGGAUUAGGGGGUCUCCGGAUAGCCGGACUAUAUCCUUUGACCGGACUGUUGGACUAUGAAGAUACAAGAUUGAAGACUUUGUCUCGUGUCCGGAUGGGACUCUACUUGGCGUGGAAGGCAAGCUAGGCAAUACAGAUAUGUAUAUCUACUCCUUUGUAACCGACCUUGUGUAACCCUAGCCCUUCCGGUGUCUAUAUAAACCGGAGGAUUUUAGUCCGUAGGACAAUAUACAAUCAUACCAUAGGCUAGCUUCUAGGGUUUAGCCUCUUCGAUCUCGUGGUAGAUCAACUCUUGUAAUACCCAUAUCAUCAAGAAUAAAUCAAGCAGGACGUAGGGUUUUACCUCCAUCAAGAGGCCCAAACCUGGGUAAAACAUUGUGUCCCCUGCCUCCUGUUACCAUCCGCCUUAGACGCACAGUUCGGGACCCCCUACCCGAGAUCCGCCGGUUUUGACACCGACAACACGACCACGCUAUCUUCCCUCAAUCCCUCUGCUGACUGCUGCCCAGAAUUGGCAAUGGGGUUGUUGUCUGUUGAUACAAAUUUCAAAGAUUAAACAUUUUUUAUCUGCAAUCUUCUUAUGGAGUUGUUUGCCACUGCUGUCAAACAUUCAAGUUCACUUGAAUUGUAUUUGAAUGUGAAUGUUGUUGUUGCUACUGUUAAUGUCAAUUUCAUUUCAUUUUGUAGAAAUAAAAGAUGAAGAGAUAUUUUUCAUCCGUGGCCGCAACAGAAGUGUCUACACUGGGAGUUUUAGCAGGGAAUGAAGGGGCUGAGAGGACUGAAGCAACUCCAGAAAAUGAAACAGCUGCAGAAAUGGGACCACCUCCUUCAAUCUCAACUCAAGAAAGCAACAUUUUUGUUAUUCCUGAUUCUACUCGUGGUCAACUAAGGGAGGCGAUAUUGAACCCGAUCCUGGUCAUAGGAAACCUAUUGAAAGCUUAGAUCCGGAUAUUAGAGAUGUUGCUAGAAGGAUGUAUCUAAAUAUGGGUCCAUGCCAACCAAGUGGUAAUAAAUUUAAAAAAGAAACUAGAGGAAAUUCUUUGAAAAAUAGAUCCUUUCAAGCUAAAUGGUUCAAGAAGCAUUCUGAUUGGUUGGAAUAUCGUGUUGCUAAGGAGGCAACCUUUUGUUUCUAUUGCUUUCUUUUUAAGCAAGCUAGAGCAGAAAACUAUGGUGUUGAGGCAUUCACAACAGUAGGUUCUAAAAAUUGGAAGGAUGGACUUAGUAUUAUUGAUACACAUGUUGGUAAGCAUGAUAGUGCUCACAACAGAGAUUACGAUGAGCCACUUGGUGGCAUUUCGGAAUUUUGGCUUUGGCACCGAUCCAACAGAGAUUAUGUUGGGAAUCGUUGCAUGGAAGACAAAAAAAUUCUACACACACGCAAUGAUCUAUCCAUGGAGAUGCAUAGCAAUGAGGGGAGAGUGUGUCUACAUACCCUCGUAGACCGUAAGCAGGGGCGGAUCUGGGCCCCAGGCUCCCAGGGCCCAGGCCUGGGGCGUGGCAAUUUUUUUAAUUAUUACCUAUGCAUGUUUUUGAAUGGGCCGAGGGCUUGGCCCAAUACACAUCCAUCCAUCCAGGGCCCAGGCCAGGCUGUCCUCCAUCACUCGCUGCCUCGCACCAGGACUGGCUCGCACAGGCGCAUCAGGCCACUACUCGCCCCUUCUCCCUUCGUUCCCUAGACCUAGAUCGAUGCAGGCAGCAGCCGCCGCUGCCCGCCGGUGACUUCCCUCCGGUCCGUGCUCCCCUGCUCGCCUACUCCGCCACUCCCCACCUGCUCACCUGCUCUGGCUCCACGGUCCGCACCUGCUCCACCACCUGCCCGCGCCCUCUGCCGCUCGCCUAGCCUGGGCUGGUCGCCUGGUCCCCUGCUGCUCUGGCCUCGCAGUCUCAACCGCUCCUGGCUCCACGCGGCCAUGCUAUCUUCCCUCAAACCCUCUGCUGACUGCUGCCCAGAAUUGGUAAUGGGGUUGUUGUCUGUUGAUACAAAUUUCAAAGAUUAAACAUUUUUAAUCUGCAAUCUGCUUAUGGAGUUGUUUGGUGCUUCUCUCAAACAUUCAAGUUCACUUGAAUUGUAUUUGAAUGUGAAUGUUGUUGUUGCUACUAUUAGUGUCAAUUUCAUUUCAUUUUGUAGAAAUAAAAGAUGAAGAGAUAUUUUUCAUCUGUGGCCGCAACAGAAGUGUCUACACCGGAGUUUUAGCAGGGAAUGAAGGGGCUGAGAGGACUGAAGCAACUCCAGACAAUGAAACAGCUGCAGAAAUUGGACCACCGCCUUCAAUCUCAACUUGAGAAAGCAACAUUUUUCUUAUUCCUGAUUUUGCUCGUGGUCAACUAAGGGAAGGCGAUAUUGAACCUGAUCCUGGUCGUAGGAAACCUAUUGAAAGCUUAGAUCCGUAUAUUAGAGAUGUUGCUAGAAGGAUGUAUAUAAAUAUGGGUCCAUGCCAACCAAGUGGUCAUAAAUUUAAAAAGGAAACUAGAGGAAAUUCUUUGAAAAAGAGAUCCUUUCAACUAAAUAGUUCAAGAAGGAUUCGAUUGGUUGCAAUAUAGUGUUGCUAAGGAGGCAUCCUUUUCUAUUGCUUUCUUUUUGAGCAACCUAGAGCAGAAAACUAUGGUGUUGAGGCAUUCACAACAAUAGGUUUUAAAAAUUGGAAGGAUGGGCUUAGUAUUAUUGAUACACAUGUUGGUAAACAUGAUAGUGCUCACAAUAAAGCUAGGCAACAAUAUGCGGCUUUCAAAAAUCAAAGGCAAUCUAUUGUAAAUGUGAUGGAUCGUGGCACCAUAAAGACCCAAGAAGAAUAUAGAGCUCGUCUUAUCAUUAUUUUGGGUGUUAUAAGAUUUCUUCUAUUACAAGCUCUUGCUUUUCGUGGCCAUGACGAGAGCUCCAGCUCGAAGAAUAGGUUUUUUUUGGAGAUGAUGAGUUGGUACAAGGAGAAGGAUCUGAAUGCUAAGACUUUGCUUGAUAGUGCGGGCGGGAACCAUUUGAUGACUUCACAUGGGAUACAAUUGCAGCUGUGUCAAGCUUGUGCUGAAGAGACCACCAAAGCAAUUAUUGAUGAUAUUGGAGAUAGAAAUUUUUCUUUACCUGUUGAUGAGUCUAGAGAUGCAUCAAUAAAGGAGCAAAUGGCUAUGGUUUUAAGGUUUGUAACUUUGCAUCUUUUAUGUUAGUUAUUGUUUUGUUCUUUACUAAUAGUAGCAGUAGUAGUGUAGUACCUAAUUGUUGAUUACUCGUGCUUCUUUGUGUUAGGUAGGUAUGUCGAUAAACAUGGGUAUGCGAUUGAGAGGUUCAUUGGGAUUAAGCAUGUUGGUGACACAAGAGCGGCUUCUCUAAAAGCAGCUUUGGAUGGUAUGUUUCUUAAACAUGGCUUGUCUAUGUCUAAAUUGAGAGGGCAAGGGUACAAUGGAGCUUCUAACAUGAGAGGACAAUUUCGUGGGUUGCAAAGGUUGAUACUAGAUGAAAAUCCUUAUGCAUUAUAUAUUCAUUGCUUUGCCCAUCAGUUGCAGUUAGUGGUUGUUGCUGUUGCCAAGUGUUGUUCCUCUGUAUUGGAUUUCUUUAACCACGUAACUUUGAUUGUCAACAUUGUCAAUGCUUCUUGUAGGAGACAUGAUGAACUAGCCCAAGAAUAACAUGAUAAUAUUGUGAGUCAAUUGGAGUCCGGGGAAAUUUUUUCAGGAAGAGGGAAAGACCAAGCAACCAACCUUGUAAGACCUAGCUAGGGAUACACGGUGGGGCUCACAUCAUAAAACUUUGUGUCGGUUUAUUGAGAUGUGGACAUUUGUUUUGCAUGUAUUAGAGAACAUUCGUGAUGAUGCAGAAAAUUUAACACAAAGAACCACAACAGCUGGCUUGAUAUCUCAGAUGGAAACUUUUGAAUUUGUUUUCAUAUUGCAUGUUAUGAUCAAACUAUUGGGCAAGACUAAUGAGUUGUCACAAUGUUUGCAAAGGAAAGAUCAAAACAUUGUUCUAGCAGUGAGUUUGAUUGGGAUCACAUUGCGAAAACUUCAAAAUAUAAGAGAAAAUGGUUGGCAGCAGCUCUUGAAGGACACAACUGACUUUUGUGUUAAGCAUAACAUUAUAUUGCCUAACAUGGAUGAUACAGUAUGUGCUCGGGGUCAUUCAAGGGGGCGUGGUGGUCAAAUGGUAACUUUCUAUCAACGCUUCAGAUAUGAAAUAUUUAAUGUUUUGCUUGACCAAAUAAUUACUGAGUUAAAUAACCGCUUUGCUGAAAGAUCUACUCAAUUGUUGAGAUGCAUUGCUUGUCUUGAUCCAAGGAACUCAUUUGCUAAUUUUGAUGAAGACAAACUUGUUCAACUUGCUGAGAUGUAUGCUGAUGACUUCUCCAUAUAUGAGAUUUCUUUCGUCCUUAAAAACCAACUUGAAAACUUCAUUGCUGAUGUGAGAGCUGAUUCAAGUUUUGUUAGUUGUAAUGACCUUGGUAGUCUUGCUGUGAAGAUGGUUCAGACUAAUAUACACAUGGUCUUUCCUUUGGUAUAUCAUCUUAUUGAGUUGGCAUUGAUUUUGCCUAUUGCAACCACAUCAGUGGAAAGAGCUUUCUCAGCUAUGAGUAUUAUCAAGACUGAGUUGAGGAAUAAGAUGUGUGAUGAUUGGUUGAAUUUUUCCGUGGUGUGCAAUAUUGAGUGAGAAAUUUUUGCAAAGGUUGAUGAUGAUGCUAUUAUAUAUCGCUUUCAAUCCUAUAGAUCUUGCAAAGGAACUUUACCUCGUCGUAGUAGUAAGUUUUCAACUCUGUACAAUGUUAAUUGUUUCACUUGAUGUUUAUGUCUUUUCUUAUGAAAUUUUGCUUUUCAUUUCUUCAAGGUGUUGGCUCUUCUUCCACCGUUGAUCAAGUUAUGGAAGACACUGGUGAAGAAAGCCAUUGAUUUGGUACUCUUUUUACUGCACGUACUGUUCAUAGUUUUUGUCAUCUUUUUUUAUCUAUUUUGUUGUAUCUCUAAGAAUUGAGUUUAAAUUCUAAAUUUUUGAUGCAAUUGAGCCAUAUUUGAGGUAGCUAUAGUUUGAUGGUCGUUAAGUUUUUCUCUCGCGACAAAAAAAUUUUGGGCCCGGGGCUUGCUCCAAUCCUGGCUCCGCUACUGACCGUAAGCGGAAGUGUUUUAACAAUGCGGUUGAUGUAGUCGAACUUCUUCUAGCUUCGACCGAUCAAGCACCAAGCGUACGACACCUCCGAGUUCUGCACAAGUUCAGCUCAGUGACGUCCCUCGCCUUCUUGAUCCAGCAAGACGUCGAGGUAGUAGAUGAGUUUCGUCGGCACGACGGCAUGGUGACGGUGAUGGUGAAGUGAUCCUUGCAGGGCUUCGCCUAAGCACUGCAAAAAUAUAACCGAGGGUGUAAAUGGUGGAGGGGGGCGCCACGCACGACUAGGCAAUUGUCUUGUCUGUGCUAGCCCCCCCCCCACAUAUAUAUAUAGGUGGGAGGGAGAGGGGAGAGGCCAGGAGGCGCCCCAAGUAGGACCAAAUCCUACUUGGGUUCCUCUUAGGCCAGCGCUGAUGAAGCUAUGUACCUAGGGUAGGGUCAUGGAUCUGUCCAACAUACCCUCCCCAAGGACAUCUCUACAAAGAAUCAGAAGCAGUCAAAGAGAAACCAUCAUCCACUCGACCGUGAAGAUGUACUCACUCGACCACCUUGAAGACACUCGACCACCUUGAAGACACUCGACCACCAGAAGAUGAGAAACCCUCCACUCUGUAAUGGUCAGGACUUAAACCAUAGCUUUAUGGGCAUUUACUACACUUUACUACAAACGUUACCAGUAACGCUCCUCCUUUAUGAACAUUGAACCCUGUGUAACGGAGGGGAGCAGGGGUCAUGGCGCACUCUAUAUAAGCCACCCCCUCCUCUAAGACAGGGGUUUGCACUUUCUGUAAUUCACACACAUAUAUUCAGUCGACCGCCUCUGGGCUCCGAGACGUAGGGUUGUUACUUCCUCCGAGAAGGGCCUGAACUCGUAAACUCGUGUGUACAACUCCUCCAUAGCUAGGAUCUUGCCUCUACAUUCCUACCCCCUACUCUACUGUCAGUCUUAGAACUACGACAGUUGGCGCCCACCUUGGGGCAGGUGUCUUAGCGACUUGUUGGAGAAGUUGUAAUUUUUCCGAUCCCCUUCAUCAUGGUUUCAGGCGGAGGUUUGGCUGAGGGCCGCGAGAUCCGUCCCGGCGCGCUCGUGCUUGUCGCCAACGACUCCGCUUGGCUUCAAGAGGCUCCACUCGACGUCGACGCGCUCCCCGCUCGCGGGGCGACGCACUUUCGCGCGUGCGUCCAUGGCGUCCUCCUGCGGCAACCGUCGACCCAGUAUCAGUCGACUCCGUCAGUUUUCCCCCUCCCUGCGGCUCGCCGGAGCAAACCCUCCGGUCGGUCGAGGCUUCAGUGGUGGGUGAGGCAUGCGGUGGCCCGCUAGUCGGCCACCCACAAGUCACGGCGAUCGAGCCCAACGAAACUCUCUACAGCCUGUUCGAUCUGUCGACUGGCUCCGUAGAGACCGCAUCCGAGUGCGAUAGCAGUGACCCAGCGGCUGAAGUUGUGAUGGUCAAUGGACAACGCAGCCCUCCUGGCUUCAACUGUGAAGAUGGAGGCGAUGGGAACGGUGAUCCGUCGCGCGUUCACGAGGAGUACCGCCCCGAACCCCUCUCCUCGCAGCAGAGGGAGGAACUUCGCCGCCGGAACAUGGAUGCACUGCAUACUCCUAUAGUUGGAGAAACCCCUGAGGCCCAGACCUUGGAGCAGGCGCGCUUGGCCAACCUGGCUGAGCACACUCGACUAGAGAACCUCCAACGCACACUCGACGAUCGCGCUCGGCAGCAUGCUCCCGAAUCCAGUCGACGCCAGUUUUUUCCUCCUCCGACUCAGGUAUACCGAACCCCGAUCCAGAAUCUGGCUGCUGCUGCCUGGAUAGCGGAGUCGAUCCAACCCUCCCAGUCAAAAGCUGGUCGAGGUCUGGUGCAGAUCCGAGCCUUGCUCCGGGCGGCAGGAGAACAGAAUACGGUUGUAUCUCAGUCGCGGGAUAGGAUCCACAAUAGAUCUGUGAUGGCAGACAUAGUUCAGUCGGCCCAUAGCCCAAGAUCGCCUCCGAGGCGUGAGGGACGUGGGGAUCGACGAGAUCAGUACAGAAACCGAGAGCAGUAUGAUCGCCAAGUCGAUCGUGAUGAUCACCGUCGAGUGCCCACACCUCCCCCAAGGAGCGGGUCGUACGUGCCUCGGCAGCAUGAGACAGAAGCCCUCACAGUGUUGGGCGAGGUAUUCCAAUCGACCCCAGAGAGCCAGGCUUUGAUGCGAGAUCUAUUCUCGUGCAGGGCUUGGUUGACAGAAAUAGAGCUCACCGAGAGGGCCAUGAUGGAGAUCCACAAACCAGCAACAGGGUGCAUGUCUCUGGUCCAGAGUGCUUCAGCAGAGCUAUCAGAGCUGCGGUGAUUCCCCCCAACUUCAGGUUGGCGUCUGGAGUUAGUAAGUUCACCGGAGAGUCCAAGCCUGACACUUGGCUUGAAGACUACCGAGUGGCUGUCCAGAUUGGUGGUGGCAAUGAUGAAGUGGCCAUGAAACACCUUCCUCUGAUGUUGGAGGGCUCAGCUAGAGCAUGGCUAAAUCAGUUAGCGCCUGGCAGCAUCUAUACUUGGGAAGAUCUCGCCCGAGUGUUUUACAGAACAUUCAAGGGCACUUGCAAACGGUCGACAGGUUGGACAGAGUUACAGUGUUGUGUUCAGAAGCCGAAUGAAACUUUGAGGGAUUAUAUCCAGAGAUGGAUCACCCUACACCACACGGUAGAAGACGUGUCGGAUCAUCAGGCAAUUUGUGCCUUUAAGGAAGGCGUCAGGUACCGAGAGUUGAAUAUGAAGUUCGGCCGGACAGGAAAUAUGACUCUGGCUCGGAUGAUGGAAAUUGCCACCAAGUAUGCCAAUGGUGAAGAAGAAGAGCGACUCCGGAGCGGCAAGCACAAAGCAGUCGCCCAAGAAGCUGGAGGAGGAAACUCCGGUCGGAAACAGAAGCGCAAGGCCGAUCCAGCUACUCCGGGUGAAGCCUUGGCUGUGGUGCAAGGAAAGUUCAAGGGGAAGCCGAAAGGGUCGUGGAACCCCAAGAAAGUAAAAGAUCAAGAUGGGAAUGACGUGUUGGAUCUGCCGUGCCAUAUCCACACCAAAAAGAUGAAGAAGGUAAUUACAUUUACCCGAAGCACACUGUCGGCAUUCUGGGAACGGGGGUCCCCAGACUUGCCUGCCUGCAGCCUGCGGCGUGGCUCAAAGGGGGGCCCAGCAUGGCCCAUCUUCAUCAAAACAGACCCAAGACCCUCGCGAGGGGCCAAGCCUCGCGGGGUGGAUGACACGGAGCUUCCUUAGGAACGGCCUCACCAGGCUGGCUCGCGAGGAGGCAGAGAGAUCAAGGUGGGGUACCUCACGAGGUGCCCGUGACACAAGCCAUGACGACCAAGGGCGCCAGGCGGGCGCCAGCCCGCUCAGUGUCCUCCUUUCCCCUUUGGUGCAAAGGGGGCAAGCGCAACCGCGGAGUAGCGAGGCAUCAGGCAAAGGUUGCCGUUUCCGUGCAACAAGACCAAGACCAGGAGGACCGCAAGACGGAGGUCAUCGUGGAGCCCAAGACGGCGUCACCACCAGAGCUUUGUGCAGGCGAGGACCAACUUUAGUCAGGAUAAGUGUACUAGAUGUUCCCCUUCAAAAUGGCCAAUUGUUGGUGCCCUUCCCGCUCAAUAUUUGGGAAGAGGCCCAGGGCCAUUGCCUAUAAAUAGGACCAGCCACCCACAAGGAUGGAGGUUCAGGUUCGAGGUAAAAAGGAAGGUUAGAGAUAGAGAUCGAGGAUCAAGGAUCGGAUCGAAAUCAGAGAGAGAGAGAAGGGUGACUGAACUCCUCCUAGCAGUUCGUCCCCCCCCCCCCCAGCAAAAAGCAGACCCUCGCGAGGCUGUUCUUCCUUGUAUUGUUCAUCACCAUCAGCCCAAGAGGCAAUCCACCACACCAUACACUGGAGUAGGGUAUUACACCACAACGGUGGCCCGAACCAGUAUAAACCCUGCGUCUCUUGUGUUGUUCUUUCCAUAGCUCAGAUCUUAGCGAGGCGAAGGGGUGCAGGUAGGUAGGAGGCGAAAUCUCCACGCGCACCCCAGUGUUCGAACCUCAAGGGUCUGCCGGAACCCGAAAUCCGACAUUUGGCGCGCCAGGUAGGGGUGCGCCGGAAUUCGUCUUCCACCACCCCGUUCUCCUCCGACCAUCGCGCCCAUGUCUGACGCUCGUCGGGCCCGCGCCAAGCGCCGGGCCGCUCUCGCUUCCCGCGUCACCCAGACGGCUCUUGUCGGCGAGCGUCCUCGCCGUUCCCCGUCACCUGCCGUCAACGCCGCCACCGGCCCGGCGGGGGACGAGCAGCAAGCAUCGUCUCAGCAUCCGCCAGUGCGACAAGACGGCCGCACCGCUACUCCCUCGCUCAUCCCAGCUGGUUCUUCGUCCCGCGCGCUCUGCGCACCCAUGGAGGCUCGAGCUGCGCUCAUCGCGGCAAACGAGCUCCUAUGCUACCGUCCCGUCGACGACGUCUACGAAGAAUGGCUUGACCGCGUUGCCGAGCUCGUCCGCGCCGCAGGGGGCUCUCCUGCGCCGUCCGUUCCGCUACACCGCACCCCGCCCCGCGCCGGCGACGAGGCUCCGGCGGCGCCCCGGCCGCCUCCUCCUCAAGAAGGCGCCAUGGCUCCAAGGCGCGUGGCCCCUGGGUGGAACCCACUCCGUCAGGUGCCAGCGCGGCAAGAGCAGAGCUGCCAAGAAGUCCCUCGCCCACAAGAAGCUGCCCGAGUGCUCCCUGCUCCAGCACAACAUGACCAUGCUCCUGCUCCCGCACGCCAAGACCCCGCGCUGCUCCCAGCUGCAGCGCGUGGGGACAUGCAAGACCAAGGUCUCCGUCACCCAAGGCCUCCCGUGGCCACAACAGGUUGCCGUGCCUUCACCACCGAGCUAUGCAGCAUCGCGUGGCCCGGCAAGUUCAAGCCAGACCUGCCUCCUCGUUACGACGACACGGCCAACCCUGCGGAGUUCCUCCAGCUCUAUGAGCUGGGCAUCAAAGCUGCCAACGGAGACGAGAAGGUCAUGGCGAACUGGUUUCCCAUGGCGCUCAAGGAUGGGGCCCACACCUGUCUCCUGAACCUGGCCCUAGACACGAUCUCCUCCUAGGACGAGAUGCACACCCGCUUCAUUGCCAACUUCCAAGGUACUCGCGACCGGCCACCCACCGUGAGCGACAUGCGCCGCAUCAAGCAACAACCCGGGGAGACCCUGCAGAAGUACAUCCAGCGCUUCAACAACGCACGCCUCAAGAUUCCCAAGGUGACUGAGGAGGCCAUCAUCUCAGCCUCCUCCGACGGCGUGCGCGAUGUCAAGAUGAAGGAGCUGGCGAUGCAUGAAGACCUGUGCACUUCCUUGGAGCUGUUCAACUUGGCAACCAAGUGCGCCAGGGCCAAGGAAGGGCGUCUCUCCCUCCUCGAGCUGCCUGCCGCAGACCCAGAAGAGAAGAAGCCCAAGGCCAAGGAUGUGAAGCGCAAGGGGGCUGCCGUGCUUGCGGCAGAACCAGACACCAAGCGGGGCAGAGAUCUGCCCGAACCUCCCAAGGGCAGUCGAUAUUGUAUGUACCACGAUCUCCACACCCACAACACCAACGAAUGUCAAGAGCUCCGAGCCGUGCGAGAAGGAAGGAUCGGCCGUCGCCCCGACCGCAGUGACCGGGGCUAUGGUCGAGGAGGAGGAAGGAACGCAGGACGCUGGGAAGACCGUGGCCUGCACCAAGGGUGGCGCGAUCAACCUCGCGAGGAUCGCUGGCAAGAUCCACCUCGCGAGGGAGACUGGAGGGAUCAGCCUCGCGAGGAUCGCCCGCAAGGCAACGCAGGCCUCCCUCCACUGCCGCCGCAGCCAAGGAGGAACGAGGACCGCCACCAGGACGAGGGGGCUGGGGGCUUCCAGGAGCCGCGCGCGAUCGCCUGCAUCCUGGGCGGGGCUCAAGCCCCAGCCUCUCAAUGCAUCUUCAAGCAGUUCGCCCGCGAAGUGAAUGCAGUCCUCCCCAAGCUCGAAGCCACGCGCCCUCUCAGGUGGUCGGCGUGCGCCAUCACGUUCAGCUCAGCAGAUCAGCUCAAGUGUGCGGCUACAGCCAGAGUCCUCCCGAUGCUUUGUUCCCCAAUCAUCAGCAACGUGGUGGUCACCAGGACCCUCGUCGAUGGCGGGGCAGGGCUCAACGUCCUGUCCGUGGAAACAUUCAACAAUCUCCAAGUGCCCUACAGCCAGCUUCAGCCAACCAAGCCUUUCUCCAGAGUCACCGACGGCUCCACGGUCCCGAUUGGGCAGGUCCGCCUCCCUGUCACCUUCGGGGCACGAGACAACUACCGCACCGAGCUCAUCGACUUCAACGUCGCUCACAUUCGCCUGCCGUACAACGCCAUCCUUGGGUACCCAGCGCUGGCCAAGUUCAUGGCCGUAACUCACCACGGCAACAACGUCAUCAAGAUGCCAGGAAGUGGCGGAGUCAUCACGGUGCCCUGUGAAGAGAAGGACGCGGUGUGUUCCCUGGAGCGAGCCUUUCAGGCCGCAUCACUGGAAGACCCGGAUCACGGAAGCAGGAGGCUUCCCGAGACCGCCCCAAGAAGAAGAAGACAUCGUUCGGCCCGACCCCUCAGGAGGCAGGCCCCUCUGGGCCCGCGCCUGCCCAGGGGGAACCUCCUUCCAUCGCAUAGGAAAGCGCGCCCGGCGCCCUCCUCAGGCAGGGCUCGGGGGCUCUCCCCUGGAGGGCCACCGACCUGGCUAGGGUCACGAGGGAGGCGCUUGGGCACCAGAUGGAGGCAUGUUUUGAAGCACGUUUCCCUCAAGAAGGAGUAAGGCAAGGAGAGCCAGACCCUCAGGAGUUCGUCGGCAAGGCCAUUCAGGAGCUACAGGAGUCAAGAGUCAUGAAAGGCGGCCGCCGCCUACCAGCAGUGGCUCCCCAUCCAGGCGAGGAUGGUGGGCUGCGCGUCUGCAUCAACAUACCAGGGCUCAAUCGAGUCGCCUCUCUGGAGCGCCUCUGGCCCUUGCGAGUGGGGCGCUGUGGAGGUCCACCCGACAGCUAUGUUCGCAUGCCUUACGGCUUACCGAACGCGGCUGCCACGUACCAGCGCCUCACGAGGGGCAUCAUGGAGGCACAAGAGGCUAGGCGUUCCGCAGCCCUGGCGGAGAUGGAGAUGGUCCGCGAGGAGCCACCAGCGCCUCCGGAGCCUCCCGAGGCCCCUAGGCAUGGGGGCUCGUGAGGAUUGGCUUCCGCAGCCCACCGAGUCUGCUACACCAACAGUCCUUCGUCCUCAACGUCAUCAGUUGCCCGCUCAACUGACGCCAACUGAUGGAACUGCUCCCAAACAGCACGAUGCUUGCGCAUGGGUCCAUCCCUACAAUGCCAACAAACCUGAAUGGCUAGGCUCUGGCCGCGGCAGCCCCGCAUGGCACCACCUCGUCAAGCCUUCAGUGCCUCGUCGCCCCUCAGAAGCAACCAACGGCUGACUAUCAAUUGUCAUGGCAACCCCUCAUUCUUUCUAUGAUGGGUUUACAGGAUCUCCUAAAGGAGCCGCGUCAGGUGAGGCCCUUGCGGUGUCUCCUUCACUCUCAUCUGCGCAAACCGCUUGCACGUUAAAGGGGGGGGGGGUGCCUGAGCAUCGUGACUCAGGGCUCCUAUUCGCUCUCCAGCCCUCACCCUUUGGCCUUGUCCAUGGCAUCGUGACCUGGCAUACCAGCGACGGCUGAGACUCGCUCGAGGGCUGGGACCCGAGGACGUAGAGCAGAAAGGGGAGCAAAGGCGAGAGGGGAGGAACACGCGAGGACCUCGCCUAGCAGCCUCACGCCUGCCGAUGCACGGACCCGGUGACACACCAGAGAGCGACCCCUGAUUCUCGAGAUAAGUCACCACCCGGAAGCGCCAGCUACCGUGGCACCAUCCCCGCACCUAAUGCAAUCCCGUGUUAGCGACGCCGCUCUCCUUUCUCACCGAACGACGACUGCUUGUGCGCCAAAGGGGACCUCCUGAGCAUCGCGACUCAGGGGCUCUUACCGGACUCCGGGUCGCUCACCUCCUGGCCUUGACCACGACAUCGCGACCUGGCAUACCAGCGACGGCUGAAGCCGCCUUGGGACUGGGACCUGUCGGCGCAGAGCACCAAGCCCUCAUGAGGUUUGAAAGGGAGAACUCGCACAAUUCUACGACAAGGGUUAUAUUAACAAAACAGGAUCACAUGCACCUUACAAGCCCCCACGGGACGCGUCUUUGAUUCCUCGCAGGGAACAGAUCCUAAAAGGAUGCUAACUACGCGCGCCCCUGCAAAAGACGCCAUCAUCAACAAUGGGCCGUCAAGCACCGGCGCCAACCCCAUCCAGAUCAGAGGCGGCGACGGCCUGACGAGCCCGCCCUGCUCCAGGAGCGGCGCUGGCUCGGGGGCUCGUAGCUGUCGUCGCUCGUCUCCGGAGUCGCGAAGAGCUCGCCGGAGUCGCUGGAACCUCCGGCGCCUCCGCUGCCUGAGGAGCCGCCAAGGGAGCGGUCGACGGGCCCAGUCCUCGCCGCAGCAGGGUCCCGGCCACCUCUCCCGGGGCAGCACUCCAGCCGACACCCGUUCGCAUCGAAGACCUUGAAGAACAUCACCGAAGCACCAUCGUACUCCAAGUGGAUCGUGAAGGCACCAGUUGUCCUGCAAACCCGGGCGACAUCGCUCCAGCCUCGAGUCAUGAAGACCUCGCCUAGGGCGACGACCGCGACCUCUGCCUCGGUCGCGAGGGUGCUGCAACUGGCGUGCUGCAGCCAAAGCUCCAGGAGUUCUCCCUGCGGGAUGAUGGAGGCGAAGAAGGAAGGAAGGUGAAUCCAAGACUGAGGAGGCAUGGCGGCGUGGAGCAUGAACUCUCGGGAGGAGCCCUCGGUGUGGACCCCAGGGGGACGACCCACACCUUCGUGACCCGUCGGCGCCGACGGCGGCGCCGCCCAUGGCGAUCAGCAUCAACUCCUUCAGGGCCCUCGAUGUGGGCGUACAAGGGAAGGGGGAACCCCGGCGGUGCCCGCUCGCACCAGGGCCUCGACACCCCCUGAUGGGCCCCCUCGUCCGGGCCACGGAGGGCGAGCCAUUUCUUCGGCGGGAGCGGGUCUGGUUCCUCUCGGGGAGCCUUUCCCUUCUCUGCCAUCGAGAACCGGUGGAUCAGAGCCAUCACAGCAAGACGGAGCAAGGACCGGGAAGAAGGAGAAGCAAGAAGGGAUGGACUGGAAGGGUGCGCGCCGUUCUGUACUUAUGGCCGGCGAAGGCCAACCGCCGACCUCCACGAUCGCAGGUAAUCAUGACCCGCUUUGCAUGCAGGGGCUUGUCCAAUCCGUGCAGUUGCCGAGGCGCCAUGGGGAAGUGGAGACGCCCACGUCCAAUCAACCGCCACGCGACACCCAAGACCGCAGGCUGUUAGGGCCCGCGGCGCUUCGCUCUUGCCCUUCCGCCUCCCUACACGGCCAAGUCCGGGCGCGCCUUGGGCCCGGGGGCUACUGUCGGCAUUCUGGGAACGGGGGUCCCCAGACUUGCCUGCCGGCGGCCUGCAGCGUGGCUCAAAGGGGGCCCAGCAUGGCCCAUCUUCAUCAACACAGACCCAAGACCCUCAUGAGGGGCCAAGCCUCGCGGGGCGGACGACACGGAGCUUCCUCAGGCACGGCCUCACCAGGCUGGCUCGCGAGGAGGCGGAGAGAUCAAGGCGGGGUACCUCACGAGGUGCCAGUGACGAAAGCCAUGACGACCAAGGGCGCCAGGCGGGCGCCAGCCCGCUCAGUGUCCUCCUUUCCCCUUUGGUGCAAAGGGGGCAAGCACAGCCGCGGAGUACCGAGGCAUCAGGCAAAGGUUUCCGUUUCGGUGCAACAAGACCAAGACCAGGAGGACCGCAAGACGGAGGUCAUCGUGGAGCCCAAGACGGCGUCACCACCAGAGCUUUAUGCAGGCGAGGACCAACUUUAGUCAGGAUAAGUGUACUAGAUGUUCCCCUUCAAAAUGGCCAAUUGUUGGCGCCCUUCCCGCUCAAUAUUUGGGAAGAGGCCCAGGGCCAUUGCCUAUAAAUAGGACCAGCCACCCACAAGGAUGGAGGUUCGGGUUCGAGGUAAAAAGGAAGGUUAGAGACAUAGAUCAAGGAUCAAGGAUCGGAUCGAAAUCAGAGAGAGAGAAGGGUGACUGAACUCCUCCUAGCAGUUCGUCCCCCCCAGCAAAGAGCAGACCCUCGCGAGGCUGUUCUUCCUUGUAUUGUUCAUCACCAUCAGCCCAAGAGGCAAUGCACCACACCACACACUGUAGUAGGGUAUUACACCACAACGGAGGCCCAAACCAGUAUAAACCCUGCGUCUCUUGUGUUGUUCUUUCCAUAGCUCAGAUCUUAGCGAGGCAGAGGGGUGCAGGUAGGUAGGAGGCGAAAUCUCCGCGCGCACCCCAGUGUUCGAACCUCAAGGGUCUGCUGGAACCCGAAAUCUGACACACACCACUCAGCAGUGUCGGCUCCUAAUCUAGCAGUUCCGAGAGAAACAACCCAAGGAAAAGGAGAAAGAAGCAGACAAGGCUGAGGAUGAGGAAGAGGAUGAUGAUGGUUAUCCCCACGUGAAUUCCACUCUGGUGAUUUUUGCUGACGUUGAGAGAAAAAAUCGAUUGAAAGUCAUCAACAGGGAAGUGAACAUGGUCGCUCCGGUGACACCCAGUUACUUGAAGUGGUCACAGACUGCCAUUACAUUCGACCAGUCUGACCAUCCAGUGCACAUAGCCACCCCUGGGAGGCAAGCACUCUUGGUCGACCCGGUGGUCGAAGGCACUCGACUGACAAAGGUCCUGAUGGACGGUGGCAGUGGCCUGAACAUACUGUAUGCAGAGAGGUUGAAGGGAAU
Molecule: long non-coding RNA, 54568 nt
Filed under: Triticum aestivum (bread wheat)
Lineage: Eukaryota; Viridiplantae; Streptophyta; Magnoliopsida; Poales; Poaceae
Description: long non-coding RNA (TAES_LNC014569)
Source: RNAcentral